This 62614-nucleotide long non-coding RNA is filed under the name Oryza sativa (Asian cultivated rice). RNAcentral's name for it is "long non-coding RNA (OSAT_LNC000108)". Lineage: Eukaryota; Viridiplantae; Streptophyta; Magnoliopsida; Poales; Poaceae. The record is from RNAcentral.
UCUGAGUGAUUAUCCCUUAUGGGAUACUCCAAAAUAGAUAUAAAAAUUGAAUCCCGACUGGCGCAAGUAUUCGGUUGAUAGCCCUUACGGGGAAUAAUGAUUGGUCCAGUCUUCGAGCAUAGAAAAUAAUCUCAGAACAAAAUCCAACUUGAAGGUAUGAUCCCUGUGUUUGAGUUGAUAAGCCCCUGAGCAAAUAUAUAGCUUGUCCUUCUGUCAUAGUCAAAAUUGUCCAUUGGCAAUAGCUGAUGCAGUCGACAUGGAGACGAAAUGACUAACAUGAAGAUGAUAUCACCCAUCAAAGCUGACAGAAGAUGUCAGUGGUAGUAAAAACAGUGACACCAAUCAAAGGUGAUGAAGUCGCACAGCCGUGGAGGCAAAGAAACCAGUCGGCAGCGGUCAGGUCAGCUAGCAAUGAAGAUGAAGGUGCCCAACAACAACGACAAAGCAGUCGGUGGCAACGAAAGCAAGUCGAUGAAGACGUAGACGCGCAUCAACGGUGAUGGCAAAAUCCACCAAUCAUGAAGAUGAAGAAAAUAGUCGGCGACGGCAAACGCAUCCGACGGUAAUGAUGAUUAGCGGCAACAAAGAUAGCCGGCUAUGGUGACGAAGUUGCCCAUCAACGGCAGCAGUGUAGGCUAUGUUGAAGAGGCUUGACAGGAUGUUGAUGAAGAUGACGAUGCCGGCGAUCCAAUCAAUAGCGGUGUAGCAGCCGAUGAUAAUGACGAAGACGCUCAUCAGCGUUUGCGUAGUAGGUAACCCGUGAAGGUGAAAUAAUAAGUCGGCGAAGACAUAAUCAGCCAUUAGCAAUAGCGGAGAUGUCAGGGCCGAUGAAGCAGAGAUGCUAGUGAUGAUGUCAGUGACAAUAAUCCAUCAAACUAUUGAGAAGAUAUCAAAGCUCGAGUAGUUUCCUUGAUGCGAGCGUGUGCAUAACGAAGACUGAUGCAACGCCCCUUGAUUUAUAAAGAUGCCAGUAGAACUUGGUCUUGUAGCUGUUGCAGAUGCUUCACUUGGAGGAAAGUAUAUGCUGUUGUCCAACUCAACAAAACUGAGCUGAUUGGUUGAUAACUCUAAACUCCCGGACAUGUAGAUUAAAUCUCAAACUUGAUAGUUGAAAAUUUUAGAGUAAAUUGUGGCAGCGUCUAGAAAUCCAAAUGCCGGUGUAAUAAUUGGAGUCGCUGAAGUCAAAUUUCGGCUCUGAAGCGAAGAUAAAGAUAAUAACUCCUAGAGUUGACUCAUUGAUUGAUUGAUUACUUCAUCUUGACAUAAAACUUGUCGAAUUUUGAGUCUUGUAUUUGUGUAGCCCCCGACUCUUUGGUUAGUUGGAAAGCAAUUGAACAUAGAGUCGAGAACUAUAGCUUCCUGUCGUCGAACAGCCAUCACUAGAGUGAAGAUGCAUGUUGAAGAUGUCCAAGUAGAAAUAUUGAAGAUUGUAACACCACUUGUUGUUGUAAAAUAACACGACAUCAUAUUUGGUGAGGCAUGCCGAGAUGUUGAGGCUCUUGUAGAUGUCGUGGUUGGUGAAGCAGCAAAACUUGCGAAGUAGCGGCAAUUGGUUUUGCCGGUGCAGAAGACAAUAAAGAUAAAGUCGCUCCACCAUGGUGAAAAGGUUGCAUAGCCAUGAUGAAGUGAACACGAGUCGACGGCAACAGAAGCAAACUGGUAGCGAAGACGCGUAGUUGUGAAGAUAAAAACACUAGUCGGCGGCGGCUUAACCAGUCGGCGACGGAAGAAGUAGAAUGAUGACGAAAAUGAAUAUGUCCUUGAAUGGCAGCAAAAUAGGCCAGCCAUGAAAGUCAAGGCACCAUGGGCGGCGGCGAAGGCAAACAGGCGAUGAGGAUGACGCUAGUCAAUGAUGACAAAGACGCGCGGCCGUCGAGGCGAACAAGCCAGUCAGCGUCAGACAAGACGGCCAGCAAUGAAGACGAUGACGUCCAUCAGUAGUGGUAGUGGUAUAAACCAGCCGUAGAGGCGAGGACACCAGUCAACAGCAGACGAGACGACUGGCGAUGAAGAUGAUAAGGCCAAUCAACACUGGCAGAAUCAUGCAGCCAUGGAGGUGAAGAAACCAGUCGGCAGCAGACGUAGACAGCUUGCAUUGAAGAUGAUGACGCCUAUUAGCAGUGGCGACGACGUGGCCAACCGUGAAGACGGUAGCACCAGUAGGCAUCAUACGAGGCGGCCGGUCGGUGAAGAUGUUAACGUUCAACAACGGCGACAUAAUAGGCCAGCCGUGCAGGCGAAAACACCAGUCGGCGGCGGAGGAGGCGGCCGGUCGGUGAAGACAUAGACGCCCAACAUCAGCAGCAUAAUAGGCCAACCGUGCAGGCGGAAACACCAGUCGGCGGCGGACGAGGCGGCCGGUCGGUGAAGACGUAGACGCCCAACAACGGUGGUGUGACCAACCAACCGUAUAGGCGAAGACACCAGUCGGCGGCGAACGAGGCGGCCGGUCGGUGAAGACAACGACGCCCAACAACGGUGGUGUGACCAACCAACCGUAUAGGCGAAGACACUAGUUGGCGGCGGAUGAGGGCAAGCCGGUGGUGAUGUUCUGACUGAUCCAUUCCUGGAGCGUAGGAGAUAAGCUUAAAGCCAUGAAUCCCUUUUAUGCAUAUCUGGAUCUGGAUCCUAAAGAACAAACAUAUAGGAUGAGUAGUAUCUGAUAUAAAUAUAAUACUCGAGGAAAAUUUAAGUAUUUUAAAAUAUUUAUAAAUAUGUAUUUCUCCUCUUGUCAAUUUUGAUUUCUCCGAGCAGAUGACUCCUUACGUUUAAACACUCUGCCUAACUAGUCAUAGUCCCCAAGCAUUGGGAGUCGGCUUAGGCACUUCCCAAACAUGCAUAUGAGGGACAUGAGUUCGUCAUUAAUGGAACAAAGUUUCACGGAUCAGAGUUUACUACUCGGGUACUUUUACAAUUAUUAAGAGCAGAAAAUAAAUUAUUUUAUCUCUAUGCUUUUGAUUUAUUCCGAGUAAUACUUAGCACCUUGCGUUACUCGGUCCAUCCAACGAGCCCCCGGUGCUAGGAAUCGGCUCAAUGGCAACUAUCCAUUGGCAAACCAAACGGAAAUCAUAGGAAGAUGGAACUCCAUAACUCGAUAGGCACUUUUGUACUCAGAUUAUGUCGCGAGCAAUCAAGAUAAAUAGUAUGAAAAUUGUUGAAAAAAUAUGAUAUAACAUCUGUAGCCACCGACUCACUAGUCAACGGCAAACCAGUUGAUGUAGUGAGGCAGAGAAAAAAGAAAAUAUCAUAUAAAGAAAAUUUAAUGAUGACUUAGCUUUGUAAUAUUCCCCUUGGUGAUGGCAGAGGUGGCCAAUGUGGGAACAAAGUCGUCCAUCAAUAACAAUAAAGACACCAGUUGGCGGCGGCGGGAGCAAGCCGGUGGUGUAGAUGACGAGGUCCAUCAAUGGCGGCGGAGUCCACCAACCGUAUAGGCGAGGACACCAGUCGGCGGCGACGGAGGCAGGCCGGCAGUGAAGUCGAAGACGCCCAACAACGACGGCAUAAUAGGCCAACCGUGUAGGCGAGGACACCAGUCGGCGGCAACGGAGGCAGGCCGGCGAUGAAGUCGUAGACGCCCAACAACAGCGGCAUAAUAAGCCAGCCGUGUAGGCGGAGACAUCAGUCGGCAGCGGCGAAGGCAAGUCGGUCGGUGAAGCCAUGGACGCCCAUGAACGGUGAUGUGACCAACCAACCGUAUAGGCGAGGACACCAGUCGGCGGCGACAGAGGCAGACCGGUCGGUGAAGACGUAGACACCCAACAACGACGGCAUAAUAAACCAGCCGUGCAGGCGGAGACACCAGUCGGCGGUGGCGAAGGCGAGCCGGCGGUGAAGACGUGGACGCCCAUGAACGGUGGUGUGACCAACCAACCGUAUAGGCGAGGACACCAGUCGGCGGCGACAGAGGCAGGCCGGUCGAUGAAGACGUGGACGCCCAUGAAUGGUGGUGUGACCAACCAACCGUAUAGGCGAGGACACCAGUCGGUGGCGACAGAGGCAGGCCGGUCGGUGAAGACGUGGACGCCAUGAACGGUGGUGUGACCAACCAACCGUAUAGACGAGGACACCGGUCGGCGGCGACAGAGGCAGGCCAGUCAUUGAAGACGUAGACGUCCAUGAACGGUGGUGUGACCAACCAACCGUAUAGGCGAGGACACCAGUCGGCGGCGACAGAGGCAGGCCAGUCGGUGAAGACGUGGACGCCCAUGAAUAGUGGUGUGACCAACCAACUGUAUAGGCGAGAACACCAGUUGGCGGCGGACGAGGCGGCCAGCGGUGAAGACAUAGAUGCCCAACAACGGUGAUGUGACCAACCAACCGUGAAGGCGAGGGCACCAGUCGGCGGCGAUGACGGCGGCCGGCAGUCAAGACAAUGUCGCCAUCAGCAACGGCGGCGGAGUUCAUCAACCGUGGAGGUGAAGGCACCAAUCAAUGGCGGCGGAUGCCACGUAUGUAUGUGCACACAAAAAUAACAGAUCAGAAAAUAAUUAGAAAUCUGUGAAUUAGAUGACUAGAAAAAUCAAUAUUAAUUCUAGAUUAUGUAAGAAAAUUAAAACGAUAGACCUGGUAAAUGUUUGUCACACAAACUCUUAAUGAUGCACGUAUGUCAUCGGCGUGCAGGGCCAGAUAUGAGUCCGGAGUAUGCAUGGCUGAGUCCGAUCAGUCGGCUCCGAGCCCACAUCAACUCCGAUUCAUGUUAAUAAUUGAAUCUCGCCAGAAACUUUGAUAUUUGACGAGAAAACAUUGGCGGUGGCUGAGAGUUGAUGUAUUUCUUGGUAGCGGCUGAGCCAUGUAGAUCCUCGUAUAUGCUGACGUCGGAGAUUGAUGUGAUGAAUGUAGCGGUUGACCGGAGGCUGACCGAAGUCAGAUUGGAUUUGAAGUUGGCUGCUUGGAGAGCUUGGAAUAGAUCACUGCAGUGUUCGGGAGAUCGAACAGGAAUUUGCUGAAAUUGUCGGCGGCGAGAAAGUCAAACUCCUCAUGCAAGAAAUCUGCCCUGAAGUGAACACAAAGCCGGCGACUCAUGGAGUUGAUUCCAUCGCACUUCUCGACGGGAAAUUCGACGCAACCCCUACCUGGCGCGCCAACUGUCGAAACAUGAAUUUAGCAAUAAUAAAAGAGGGUAGCGCACGAGACCUAAAAGUGGAUGGAUGCGGAGACAAGAAUUUAGACAGGUUCAGGUCCUCUCAAUGAGAGGUAAUACCCUACUCCUGUUUGGGGAUUUGAAUCCGCCGGGUGUAGUAUAGAUCUGACGAUCAUAUUCUGUCAUACCCCCUAGAGGGGGCCUCCUGCCCACCUUAUAUAGGGUGAGGAGCAAGAUUACAUGAUAGAAAUCUUAACCAAUACGGUAUCGGUUUCCUAAAUAUACUUUACAACAUUAUCAAAUCAGGACUCUAGGCUGUUCCAUAAUAUACAAGGAAACGUAAUACCCAAGUCAUGAUCUGUUACAUAUUUCAUAGAUAUGAGUUAUCCCCUAUAACUAGUCGGAUAACCAUGCCGUGUGGGUAUGUGGUACCCAUAAUCUCCACACUAGAUAUAGUUUCUAUAAACUCCACAUCAUCAAGAAACUAGUACUAGACCCUACUCUUCCAAUGCAAACACCACUAUUCCAUACUUAACUUUAAUGCUACUUAUCUCACAUGGUGUCUUGGAUGUUAUGUAGAAACCAUGUCUCAUGCAAGACAUGGUUUCCUUCUCUUUCCUCAUUUAUUCACUUGCCACAUCAUUUUUCAUCCUAGGUGGCUGCUUAUUUAAUGCUAUAAACACCAUCUUAAGGGCAGUCACAACUCUCCAUCUAGGAUGGUGUCUAUGGCAUUAACUACAUUGCCAUGUAGGACUUUUAGCUUAUGUGGCACUAUAUUAAUUAAGAGAGAGUGAAGAGAGGAAGAAACUGGAUCUUAUGCAAGACACAGCUUCAACACGAGAACCUAUGCACUAGACACUAUCAAGUUUUGCAUUGGGAGAGAAUAGUGUCUUCAUAAUAGACGAAGAAUAAAUAUAAUUGGUAGAGAAGAGAGAUGAUGUAUUUAUUAAUGGCCCACUCUAAGAAAUCAUGGGUUGUGGAGUGUAGUUUCUAUUGUGAUGUCUUAUUGACAUGGCACCAUGGACACUACUUAUGGACACUAUGGGUUGGGACUGCCCUAAUCAUUGGGUUGGGAAUGGCCUAAUACUACUACCACUAGUACAUUAUUACUACUACUAGUAAUACUAGUAGUACUAUUAUUGUUUUUAUAUGUAUAUAUACACGUAUACAAAGUUUAUAUAUGACGUAUACAAAAUUUAUAUACGUGUAUACAAACUUUGUAUACGUGUAUUUUUUUUAUAUAUGUGUAUGUAUAAAAAUUAAAAAAUACACAUAUAUAUAUAUAUAGACUUUGUAUACGUGUAUACAAAGUUUGUAUAUACCCAUAUACAAACUUUGUAUAUGCGUAUACAAAAGUUUUGGGUUUUUAUAUACGUGUAUGUAUAAAAAUAAAAAAUACACAUAUAUAAACUUUAUAUACGCGUAUACAAAGUUUGUAUAUACCCGUAUACAAACUUUGUAUAGGCGUAUACAAAGGUUUUUGUAUACAUAUGUAUAAAGACGAAAAUAACUGAAAACAUACGAAAAGAAAAAAAGAAAAAACAAAAAAAGGAAAGAAAAAAACAGGAAAAAGAAAAAAGAAACCGUCCGCCAGAAAAAAAAAUUUCCACGCGCCGUACUCCGCCCUCCUCUCCGCGCACGACACGUGUCCAGUCACGCUUUGAACGCUAAUUAGCGUUCUCGGGCGGCGGUGGGGUUUGAAAGAAACCCAUCGACAAGGGGGUUUCAAUCCACUGCUUGCGUUUCAAUCCAGCCGCGUGGCACUAUAUCGAUUUUAAGGGAAUAAAAUAAUAAAAGAAAAGGGAAAACUUGGCCUCAAGAGAAUAUAUCUUUGAGAGCAAUCAGAAAAGUGUUCUGAUAAAAACGACUUCACGCUGAUUCAAUUGUCAUCCAAUUUCUCGAUUUAUCUGUCGCCCUCUUGGUUCCGUAGCUCCAUUGGCAUGCACAUCCAAGCUCCCUGAUGCAAAGAUGGAGACAUGUUCAUGAGUAGAUUUCGGGAUUGCUCUCAGCUAUGCAAUCAUGCAAAUAUAUAAUCCCAAUCAUUUUAUAUUAAUCAUAAAUAUUAAUUAGUUUCUACCGUUGCAACACACGGGCACAUUUGCUAGUCGAAUAAAAGAAUCCAAAAUCGUAGCUAAGCGUGACCUGAAUGUUGAUCUUAUAUUACAGGCGUGGAACAUAUAGCUGGAAAUAUGUAUGAGAGCGUGCCUAAUGGAGAUGCAAUUCUUUUGCAGGUAUGAUAGCGUAGUAGCAGAAUCAUUUGGGUUGUUAUAGUCAUAUAGAAAGAAAAUGUUUAAUCAUAUACAGUUUGUGACGCAUGAAAUUUUUGAGAGUACAAAUACAAUAAAACAAUUGAUGCUAAGGUUGAACGAUGUCUCCGAUAUAGCUGUGAAACUAGGAUUUGGCUAGUAGAAAGAACUAAACUCAUGCUAUAAAGAUGGAGAUAAUUCAAAAUUAAUUCAUACAUGCUUAUGCAGUGGAUGCUCCUUAUGUUUAGUGACGAAGACUGCAUCAAGAUACUGAAGAAUUGCCACCAAGCUCUCCCGAAAGGCGGGAAAGUGAUCAUUGUGGAUGGUCUCCUGCCGGAGACCCCAAAUACUAGUCCAGCUGCACGGGAUUCAUUCACCAUGGAUAUGAUCAUGUUUGUCCUCUUCAAGGUAGGAAAACAGAGGACGGAGCAAGAGUUUGCAAAGCUUGCCAAGGAAGCUGGCUUUACCGGUACCUUUCGGUCGACCUACAUAUUCUUGAACUUCUAUGCUCUUGAGUUCAAUAAGCAGCUAUAUACCUAGAAAACAGUAUGGUCUUGAAUAAGAGUUGCUAGCUCGCGUGUGUAUACUUAUGUCUCUCUAUGAUAUGUUUCUAUUCCCAUGUAUGUCCCUAUUGUGUUGUGUCCUACAGCUAAUCUAAAUGUUAAUCUUCGGUAUACCAUAUACAUGUGCUCAUGGUCUCUGUUUGGAUAGACACUACUCUCUCUGUCUCUAAAUAUUUAACGCCGUUGAUUUUUUUAAAUAUGUUUGACCAUUCAUCUUAUUCAAGAACUUUUGUGAAAUAUGUAAAACUAUAUGUAUACAUAAAAGUAUAUUUAACAAUGAAUCAAAUGAUAGGAAAAGAAUUAAUAAUUACUUUUUUUUAAUAAGACGAAUGGUUAAACAUGUUAAAAAAGUCAACGGUGUUAAAUAUUUAGGGACGGAGGGAGUACUACAAAAGAAAUUUGUCUAGACGGGCAAAACCGAUCGCGGAUUUUGUGCCCACCUUUACACAAACGACUGGAAAUCGACAUUUCCACAUGUGGGCUGUGGCCUGGGAGCAUUUCCUUGUACACUGACAGCCAGUGGAAAUCACUGAUAGGCAUUCAAAUUGUAUAGUACCUCAUUUUCAAAAUUUAUGUUUGCACGGACCAUUAGUUUUAUUAAAAAUUUAGUAUUAACUAGAAAAAAAAUGCCCGUGCGUUGCAACGUUUUAAUCUUAUUUUUUUAUAUGGUUUAGUUAAGAUGAAAUUCACUAUGAGAAUUCGCUUGGAUAUAUAUAUUUUUAUAAAAUCAUGGGCUGCAGUUAGGAGUCCGAUCGUCUUAAGUUAGCAUGCGAGUUUUUUAAAACAUAUUUCUUAUAUGAUUCCUGUAUUACCAAAAGUGAACGAUCUUAAAAACCGACUCAAAUACGGAUAUGUAUUUCUAAAAGCAAACGAAUUUAAAAACCGACUUAUACACGGAUGACGUACCAAAAUACCGGUAAAAACAUCUUUAAUUUUUAUAAUAGUAGAGAUACGUAAAAGUACAGGUUAAAAUUAUAUUUUUAUUUGAUGAUAAAACAAAUCAUGACAAAAUAAAUGAUAUUUAUAAAAAAAUGAAUAAAAUGAAUGAUCAAAUGUUAUGUGAAAAGUCAACGGCGUCGUACAUUUUGAAAAUGGAGGGAGUAUAACACAACUGUAAACAGUCACUGCUCUGUUUUUACUAGGUCUGAAUCCACAUUGACGAUGCUAUACAAUUAGCCAUUACACUCUCACUGUAGUAGCUAAGAGAGAGAACAAAUUAACAGACUAUAAAUUCGAAAGUUUUGGAAGAUAAAAACUGUCGAACGUUUUUUUAGAGAUUCCGUAGCUUAAAAUGAAAAGAGUAAUAAGGCUAUUAACGGUAGCAAAUAACAAGCUUCUAGCAAAGAUCAUGGUAACAGAAACAGAGUUUGCCUAGAUUUCAGUAGAAAGCAAAUGCUUAUGCUUGAACCAGUAUUUCAUCACUGCUGUCUGUCCAAAGUCUCUUCACUGCAUUUUUUGCCGUCCAUGAAGUAUGAAUCUCCUAAAUAGGUGAUUAUAAUUAGUCAUCAAGAGUAUCACUAUAAACAAAUUUGUCAAGAAUGAACUGAAAAAACAAGAAAUAUUUGUAACAUAGGACCAAAUCUAAAGUUUAAUAGCUUAUGGAGUCUGUUAAAGAAACUUUUGCACAGUAGAGUACCGUAGCAUACAUGUGAAUGGUGAUAUGUGAACUUUCGAAAUGCUACCUUCUAGACAAGCUGUGCCCAUUCUUCAAGUGACACGAGAGAAUUGGGAUAUAUUGCGUUUGCAAACAAACUUCCAAUUUGUCUCAAAUACAAAUCAAACUAGGGAAAGUUGCGUCACAAAACAACUGAAAAUGAAAUUAAAAAAACAGGGAAUUUACUAAUCGGAAGAACAUAUUAAAAUAAAGGCAUUUCAGGAAGACUCUUGGUUGAAAAAUUCAAAACAAUUUUGGCAUGUUGAGACAUUUUCCUUGCACAUAAAUUGUUUGAGCUAAUCGGAGAUACACCUUACAUGACAAAAUAAGAACAAGGAGGUCAGAGAAGGCAGUACCUAUGUGCACCCUGGCAAUAUGGGAGAUAUUAUUCCAUUCAGGGCUUUCAUAUACUCCAACCUUCUCCUCCAGUUCUUUGCAGCAGCAAGUGAUAUCGAGCUUCUGCAGAGAGGAUGGGAAAUCAGGAAGCGACUGAAGCUUCCUAGCACCAGAUAACAGCAAUAAGUUGAGAGAGCAUAGGUCUCGCAUAUGGAGGGGCAGAGAUUCCAAAGAACUGGCACUGUAAAUCUUCAGGGAUUGGAGCUUUCCACGAUUCUGAAGAAGCCAUUCCUCAGGUAAGCUCUCCAGCUGCGUUCCACCUCUGAUCACCAACCCCUUGGUGUGACAGAGACCCUUGAGUGGCUCAAGAUGCAGUAUGUCUGGCAGAUCAAUUUCAAUAUAGUCUAUCUGCAGGGUGCUAGUAGACGAUGCGUCGGGAGUUUGGGAUGACCCGAUCGCCAUGAGCUUACUACAAGCACUGAUUUUCAGCUCAAGAAGGUAUUGAAGCGAACCAAGACCACCUAAGGAUGACAGAUUCUCGCAUCCUAUUAUCUCGAGAGACUUCAGAGACUUGAGGCUCUUGAACACAUCAUGUGAGGGGAGUGAUUCUAGGUAUUUGCACUUCUCCAACACCAGCUCAGAAAGAUGCGUGAGUCCUUGUAGUGCUCCAAUCAGUGGAAGUUCAAGUUCACCACAGUAAUUGACAUUCAGUUUUUGAAGUGCUAAUGGCAGGAAUGUAUCUCCAACACCUCUCGAUGUCCUCAGCUUUGGACAGUUUCUGAUAUCAAGCUCUCUAAGUUCAUUCAUCUGUUCAAAUACCAAUGGAGCAGCCUCCAGAUCUUCACAAUCUGAGAUGCGUAGGACAUGGAUGCUUUUGAUGUAGUCUCCCUGCACUAGAAGGCUCUCUUCAAGUGAGUUCAGACAUUUACAUUCUUCGACAACUACGACCAGCAGCCUGGAUGACUUGGUCUCGAGGUUCUCGUUGCAUUCCUUUCCUAUCCUAGGAAGUUUGGUCAAACCAACAUUACUUGUUUCAAAAUGAACCAAGGUAGUAGGCAGGAUAGGCAAUGCCCUCAGCUCUUUGCAGCGUCUUACUAUCAUAGUGUCAAGAUUUGGAGGAAGGGAUAAAUCAACACAAUUACUACUUGAGGCCUCAGAUGAUUGACCAAUCUGUUGCAAACUAGGAAGGCACUCCAACCAAAGAUGUUUAAGAGAUACUAACUCUCCAAGUGAAGGAAGUUUUUCCCAAUAUAGACAUCUUGCCAACUCGAGUGACACUAAGUUCUUGAUGCAGAGAUUUUCAAUCCAAAUAGGAGACCUUACACCACCAUAACCUGAAAUUCUCAGUGUUUCAAUAUUAGCAUAUGGCUCAAGGUGAUUAAGAAGCAACUCAUCUUUUCUGUUUUCCACAGCCGCACGUGCUGACCAUGCCAAAGAUAACAAGGUGAUAUAUUUCUUAUCAUUUAGCUCGACAUUGUCAGCUUCUUCAUGGCUCUCAACAUUCUCAAGACCAAGCACCUCUAGUUCACGAAGAGUACUCAAGUUGCUGAUUGCGCUUAUUUUGUUACCUUUGCCACCUUGGAUCCUGUAGUUGUGCAGCUCCUGAAGUGAAGUGAGCCUUCCAAUUGGGAACUCACCAAUUUUGCCGUAAUUCACAUAUCGCAGAUGAUCAAUGUUUCCCAAAUACCUCACUUGUUUUGGCUCUUCGCGAGAACCAUUGAAACAUUUAACUAGCAAUAAGUGAUAAAGUUUCACAAGUCCACAUAUGGUAUCAGGAGAUAUCCUAGGUAGAUCAAUAUAACAGAGGUGCUUUAGAUGAGCAAUUUUUGGAAGAUGAAAUGUAUUCUCCAAAUUUGAUUGCAGUAGACGCAGCGAUUUUGAUUGUUCCAUAACAUUUUCAACUGCAUGAAAUAAAUUGCUGUCAAUCAAACCUGAGCCUUCAAUGAUAACAGUGCGCACAUUCUUAAAAUGUAAGAUCUUCUUAACCUCCUCAGUAGAUAAAUGGUCAAUUCCUGAAAUACAUAGGUGUCGAACUGUAUCCUUCUCAUUUUCCAACAUGCCAGGACUGAUUAUUCUUGCACAUUCCCCAGAAGAUACAUACCUUGCCAAUUCAUGCAUUAAGUCAUGCAUUAUGUAAUAAUUUUCUUUCCUUUGACUAUACGGAUCUACUUUGAUAUUGGUUUCAAAGAAUGAUUUCCCAGCUAAUUGAGCCAAGAUCUGUUCUCCAAUGUCCUCAAGCCUUUUUGGUGGUUUAUUUCCAGCUUCUGAGAUCAGUCCUGAACCUAUCCACAUCAGCACUAGGUCUUUCAUUUUAAAUGCAUAAUCUUGCGGGAAUAUACUACAGUAUCGAAAGCAAAUCUGAAGGUCGGUUGGUAGACAGUAGUAGCUUAGUCUGAGGACUUCCAUAAUAUCAUCUUCACUUCCUUUAAAAUGUUGCAAACCUUCUUGCAAGAAAUUGUUCCAGUGUUGAAAACUCAUAUUGCUCCGCAAAUGGCCACCGACAACCUUUGUUACCAGGGGACAUCCUCCUAGUUUCUUCACAAUUUGUUUGCCGACUGAUUUCAAAUUUGGAAAAUCUUGUGGAUUCUGACCAGAAAAUACAGAAUGACUGAAGAGCUCAAGAUUUUCACCUUCUUCUAGUCCUUCUAUUGACAAGAACUCUGUUUCAAUUCCCAUGGCUUCUGUGGCCAAAACAGCUACUGACUGCAUCCGUGUUGUUAACAAAAUUUUGCUCCCACUCUUCCCUGUCCUUAGAGGAGCAAACAACUUUUCCCAUUUAUCUAUUUUCUUAUCUUCCCACACAUCAUCUAAAACAAGCAAAAAAUCAGUAGAAUACUUCAGUUUGUGUAUUAGGCUUUGCUGUAGUGUCUCCAAACAAUUAGCAUUAGGUUUUGCCCCCGUAGCAGAUUCUAGUAUUUUACUUGUCACAGAUGUUACAUCAAAGCGAUCAGAUACACACACCCAUAUAACCUUGAAAUUCUUCCUAACCAUUUCUUCACAAACACGUUGAGCCAACGUAGUCUUCCCCAUGCCACCGUGACCAAUUAACGACAGAAUAGGAAUAUGGUUAGUGCUCAUCAAAUUUCCAGAAGCGUCAGUUGAUGCCUUUGUCAGCCAUCUAACUAUCUUUUCUUUCUCCUUUUCUCGUCCAACAAAUUUAGGUGGAGUUAAUGUCAAACCUGUCGCACGAUCAUCGUUCGUUGAAUACUCCUGCUGCUGACUACACGAAGCAACCUCUUUGAGAUGUUCUGUGACUGUGAGAAUGCUCAUAAUAUCUGAAGCAACCUUGUCUAAACCCUCCACAGCUUCCCUCAACCUCUUGAGAGUGCCCCGGUGAGUAAAUUGUUUCAAAUUCUUGUCCAAAAUACUGACAUGUUUAACAGACUUAAUAACUUUGUGCUUCACCUUAGAGAAAGAGGAACCCCAGACACUAACCUUGUGGUCCUUUGCCAUUUCUUUGAGUUUGUAGUACUCGAGCACAUCGAUCACGUCCUCAGCCUCCUCAACUGCGUGCCUGAGCUGCCAUAACCAUGCAUCUAGUGCACUGCUCUGUUCCUUUACAUACCUGGGAUUGACAAUAUCGAGAACGACCUGGAUCUUCGGCAUCGACUGCAGUAGCCUGUUCUUAAUAUCUUCGAUGCCUUCAACCUUGUACUCUUUCAGGUAGGUGAAAGCCUUGUUGAUCCAGAAGGAGAUGGCUGCAGUUGCCACUGCCUUUCCAGCAAACACUAGUGCCAUAACAGAAGCUAUAGAGAAAGAUCUCUAUGGAGAGAUUAGUAUAUUACAGCAUAUGGAGAUGCACGUAAAAAUUUGCAAGAGAAGAAGCAACACAAAGAGAGAUUCAAGAUGAAGAUGGCUACUGUAGAAGCACACAAAGGAAAAAAAUCCUCUCCAUGCACAUGUCAAUGUAACUAUAUCACAGGCUCAUAUGCAUCAGGAUCCCAAAUCUUGUGCAUCUAAAUAGGAGGCACAGUUCUAGUACCUGUAACAAUGGCAUCUUCAGUCUGCAGCUUUGUUAAUUGUCUUGAGGGUGACUGGACUAGAUGGAGUAUCUCUGAAGAAAUUUCAUAGUUGGGAACCAGUCAAUGCCAUUAGUUAUGUCCAGACUAUGGAUGUGGACAGCACAGCACUCAUUUGAUUUAACUACGCCUACUUGCAGUACUUUGUUGCUAAGUCUUCUGACUGCAAAUUUGUAUAUAUGUGGCUCAAUUUUUCCACUCAAAGGGAAGUGCUCCCUACUUGUCUGACUUCCCGCUUUCCUAUAAUCUUGUAAGAAAAUAGAAAGCCCACUUGUACUACCUCCUGUAUUUUUAUGGUGCAGAUUGCAGAUCAAUCCCUCUGGUGAAAAAGUGGCAUGCUAGCUAGCAACAAAAUUAUUCUGAUUUUAAUGAACUUUUGGACAAUCCAUAUGAAAUAUGUAUGUAUAAGUGUUGGGAAAGAUUUUUCGUAGCAUAAAUAUCGUUAGAUUUUUUUUCUCAAAAUAUAUUACAAGAAAAUUGUUGGUCGAUAUUGUUAAUUUUCUAUACCGUCCUGUCUAAGCCAUCACAUUUCUGUGAUGAGAUCUAGGAAGUUAACUAGUAUUUAGAUGAGAAACAUCCAAAGAAUUAAUAGGUUCAGAAUUCCUCAUUCUGAAGUGUUCCCUCACCAAAAUAUCUGGUUCUGCCUCCGCCAUGUAAGCAAUUACAAAAAUGCUAGUAUUAGCUUAUAAAACCGGCAUUUCCAACAUUACAUGUCAGUAUUUACAGACCCGCGCACUACACAACCAAAUCUUAGUGCAUUGUCUGUAUAAGAUUGUAGGGUAAUUUUAUCAUGCUUGAGAAAGUAUCAUAUUUUCUAGUGUAAAAUUUAAUAUCUCUAGGUACCAAAAAUUUUAAUGUAAAAUUUAGGUACCUUAAGGUACUUUUUCAAGUACAGUAAAAUUCCUUGAGAUUGUAAUAUGAGGGGUACUUUUUUUUUUCCUCAACAGAUUCUACUAUGAGGGGCUAUUUUUUUCCCUAUGUUCCAACCAUACCGCUACAUGAGAUGUAUAAUAUAAAGUCUACAUCGGUAAGAAACCAACCUAUAUGUAUCACUGGCGACAUCCAAAUCGAAGUUUCAUGCACUCCUUCGGUCCAACCGUGACAUUCAGCAAGAACAAGCAAACCAAACCAUGCCUGCUCUAGCAAAGCUCAGAAGAUAAAAGUGUGCACUGUCUAAGAGAUAAGCAAAGCUGAGAGCCUGAGAACAAGCGAGCCGCAUUUGCGUUGCAUCCUACUGCAUUUCUCUACUUACCUUCGCAGGGCGGGCAUCGCGGCGGGGCGAUCGGGUGGGGGUCGUCGGCGAGCGCAAACCUCGAUCCACCACCUCCCGGUCGAGGCGGCGCCGCCUACUCGGGCCUCUUCGGGUCUCGGCUCGCCGUAGCCGCGUGAGGUGGGGGGGUGGCUUCGCGGCGGAGGACGGUGGUGGGAGAAGGUGCGGCGGCGGAGGAGGAAGAAGCGCGGAAAGCCGUUCGAUCGAAACUAGUAUCUUGGACGGCUGAGAUUGACGCAAAGGGGAGGACAGAUGCAGGGAUCGAACACACGUAUUCCAAAUUUUAUUCUGACCUGCCCAAAACCUUGGUGCAAAAUUAAUCAUAGUUCCCUUUGAUCUACCCAUUGCAAUAGAGAGCACAAGUGUUUUGGAGUAAGCUUCAACUACCUCCAUCCCAAUUUUAUUUUUUUUUCAUAAAUAUUUGGGUUUUUAAUACUAUUUUCCCACAUGAUUAUCCUAUUUAAUUUUUACCAAAACUUACCCUAUUCCUAACUAUCCUCUCACUUAGUCUUGUAUGGUAUAGGCAGCAAAAAAAAAUCAUAAGACAAAAAAAAAGAUCAUAAGACAAAAAUUGAUUGUAAAAUAAGACCAUUCACAAGUCACAACACCACAUCACAUAGGAGCUAUGUUUUUAACUCAGUUUGUAUGGGUGGCUUGAGCAAGACAUGUGUGUCUUUUGUAAGGUGUGAGUGCUUUAGCCAGCCCUCGAACCUAGCAAGCGAAGCCAUGGCUUAAGGAGCCGCGAUGGACACGUUCGUGUGUUUGCCGCACGCUUUUUGGCUAGCCAGUGCGUGAACUUCCUCCCAAUCAUCGACUACGUUUGAUGUCACGACUACGGUAUUUAUACAGUAUGGGGAUCGUUGGUACUAGGAUAUAUGCGAGAUUGUAAUAAAAGAUAUGGGGACGAGGAUUUUUAUACAGGUUCGGGCCCCUGAAUUGUUAGGUAAUAACCCUACUCCUGUUGGCCGAAGCCGGUCAUUGCUCUUAUUCACCAUAAUCACACCAGUACAAUAUUUGGGGUAGCCAAUCUAACUGUUGUCGACUUGGCGGUCUGAAGUGUUGACUCGUAGUCGACAACAUGGUAGCCUUCCUCCUCGAAUCCGCAUCCGGCAAGAUCAAAGACAGCGCUAUGUCUCUCCUGACAGUAUCCGUAGACACCAUAGGGGACUAGCCAUGCUUAUCUCUGAAGUCGAUAUCCGGCGUCUUGUCUUAGCGCAUGUUGGCUUGUAUAUUGAUCUUGUGUCUUGAUCUAUUGUAUUUAUACCCAUAGGUAUCCCCUUGUCCAAGUAGAACUAGGAAAACCAAUAUUGAUACAAUCCGAGUAGUCCUUGUCGUUUCCAUGUAGAACUCUAUUCAUCCUUCCUUAUGCGGAACUCCUCCUAUAUCCGAAGGUUGUUUCCGUAUAAGACAUGGUAUGUAGUGGGUCCUGCCGAGAUUUAGUCAACUACUAUUAGGUAUGUGGUAUCCAUAACCCUGACAGUUACUCUCUACCUACUAUCGUUCUCCGUUAUCCUCGCAACCUCAAUGCUAUCAUCCAUCCAAGUUCAGCCCCAAUCUCUCAUCCCAAUGACUCAAUACAAAAUUAGUGUAUACAAUAUACUCAUAGGUAAGGAUAGACACGUGGCCUCUUACGGUUUAGGUUGUUUGGGCAGAGAACACAUUUUUCUUUCAUCAAAAUGGAUGCUACUAAGGGAGCAUUAGCUGACUUUAUAGCUAGGGAGUUUUUCUUUGUCAUAAUUUAAAAUGUUAUUCGUAAAAAUGCACAAGAAAUUCAAAAACAAACUCUCUAGAAAAUGCAAAGAAAUUGAAAAAGUAAACUAAUAAAAAUCUCUUUAGUCUGUCGUCAACAACCACCAUCCUUCCCAACCGUUAACCCCUUCUCCUUCCCUCCCGAAAACCUCCGCCCCACCAUCCAUGGCGAUGGCGUCCUCCUCCCUCGCCGCCGCAAACCACCCCCUCCUCCCCUCCAAGCCGCUCUCCUGCCCCAAGCCCCUCACCCGCGCGACGCCCCUCUCCCGCGCGCUCCACGCCGGCGCCGCCGCGGCCGCGCGGGGCGCUUCGUCGUCGCAGGCGGAGCUCCGGCCGGACUCCAAGAACGCGCCCGCGCUGUCCGCGGAGCUCCGGAGGCUGGCGCGCGUCGGGAGGCUCCCCUCCGCGCUCGCCCUCCUCGACCACCUCUCCCACCGCGGUGUCCCCGCCACGGCCUCGGCCUUCGCCGCGCUGCUCACCGCGUGCCGGUCGCUCGCCCACGCGCGCCAGGUCCACGCGCACCUCCGCGUCCACGGCCUCGACUCCAACGAGUUCCUGCUCGCCAGGCUCGUCGAGCUCUACCUCGCGCUCGGCGCCCGGGAGGACGCGCGCAAGGUGCUCGACGGGUUGCCCCGGGCGAGCUCCUUCUCGUGGAACGCGCUCCUCCACGGGCACGUGCGCCGGGGACGCGGCCAGGCGGGCGCCGCCGUCGUGGAUGGGUUCGCAGAGAUGCGCGCCGCGGGCGCCGACGCCAACGAGUACACGUAUGGCUGCGUCCUCAAGUCCAUCUCCGGGAGCGCCGCGCCGUCCAUGGCCAUGGCCACCGCCACGCACGCGAUGCUGAUCAAGAACGCCUACGCGGGCGCUCCCAGGAUGCUCAUGACGGGGCUCAUGGACGUGUACUUCAAGUGCGGGAAGGUGAAGCCUGCGGUUAUGGUGUUCGAGGAAAUGCCAGAGAGGGAUGUGGUUGCGUGGGGUGCAGUGAUUGCCGGGUUUGCGCAUAAGGGGAUGAAGAGGGAGGCGCUGGAGCAUUUCCGGUGGAUGGUGGAGGAUGGGAUCAAGGUGAACUCUGUGGUGCUUACGUCAGUUGUGCCUGUCAUCGGCGAGUUGCGUGCCUGGAACUUGGGUAGGGAGAUCCAUGGUUUUGUGCUGAAGAAGUUCCAACAUCGUAAGGAUGUUGGAAACAUUCAGGCAGGGUUGGUAGAUAUGUACUGCAAGUGUGGCGAUAUGGUCUCUGGGAGACGGGUGUUCUAUAGCGCUAAGAAGAGGAAUGUUGUCUCAUGGACGGCACUGAUGUCUGGCUAUGCAUCCAAUGGCAGGCCUGACCAGGCGCUGAGGUGCAUACUUUGGAUGCAACAAGAAGGAAUCAGACCGGAUCUUAUAGCCGUGGGGACUGUGCUCCCAGUAUGUACGAAGUUGAAAGCAUUGAGGGAAGGGAAAGAGCUUCACGCAUAUGCCUUGCGGAGGUGGUUCCUGCCAAAUAUUUCCUUGUGCACUUCACUGAUCACUAUGUAUGGUACGUGCAGUCACUCGGAUUACUCUCAACGGGUGUUCCAUGUCAUGGACAAGAAGACUGUACAAGCUUGGACAGCAUUGGUCGAUGCGUACCUAAAGAAUGGUGAUCCUUCAACUGCUGUUGAUGUGUUCAGAUCAAUGCUGCUCUCAAACCGCCGGCCUGAUGCUGUUGCAAUCAGCAGGAUGUUGAGUGCCUGCCGUGACAUUGGGGCAUCAAAACUUGGCAAGGAAUUGCAUGGUCAAGCGUUAAAGUUGCGGAUGGAACCUCUCCCCCUAGUUGCAGCAGGGCUAGUUAGCAUGUAUGGCACAUGUGGAGACCUCAAGGCAGCGCAACGGGUUUUCAACCGGAUUGAGUCCAAGGGAUCCCUUACUUGCACUGCCAUAAUAGAAGCUUACGCAAUCAACCAGAGACACAAGGAGGCACUGGAACUCUUUGCUUGGAUGCUGUCAAACAGGUUUGUUCCAAAUAAUGGCACCUUUGAUGUGUUGCUGAGAAUCUGUGAAGCGGCAGGGUUGCAUGAUGAAGCUCUUCAGAUUUUCAACUCCAUGGUGCAAGAAUACAAUCUGGAAGCGUCUGAACAUAAUUUUGACUGCAUUAUACGGCUUCUCACUGCUGCAGACAGGACUUCUGAAGCACAUCGGUUUGCUGAUCUGAAAGCUACUCUGUUUAAUUUAUCAACUCCCUCUUUGAAUUGCUAACAGCAGUAAAUCUGUAUAUAACGCCACAUUUGAUUUGUUGAAAUGACUGAUACUCCUUUUCUAUUGUCUGAAAAGGUAAGCUUGGUAUUCGUUUUUCAAGAAAAGAUUAAAUAUCAAUGGCAUGCUAAAGUUAGUUACGAUCUGCCACUCUGACUUCAAGAAUUCCCAUUUGCUUAAUUAAUUAUUAAUGUAAGAAGGGUCUAACAUUUACUGUUAGUUGCAUUCGAGUUGUCAUCCAUAUUUUUAACAAGAAAUUUGUUACUUUGCUUUCGUCUAACCUGUCAUUAGUCACUAGGCUGAUAACUAAGUAUUAAUCUUUGCUAUUGUAUGUAAAUUUUGAACAGUAAAUGAUACUGUUGGAUUAUUCUCUCACCAUCAAUUUGCUUUAGCAAAAUUAAUAAUAAACUAUGAGCUUUAUUUUAGUAAUUAUUGAAGUUGAUAUGAUUAUCAUUGUGUUAUCAAUUCAUCUUUGUUAUCGUCUUUCUUAUGCUAGAAAUGUAGAGAGUUCCUUAUGCAUCUCUCUAUCUGUAGCAACAUUCAUCUAUUUUAAUUUACAAACUCGUUAAUUGAUGUAAACAUAAGGUUACAAGUUAUUCUAUCUACAAAAGAGUAUAAAGGCAUAGUCAUGUACUAUUUUAAGAAAACCAAAGUGUUAACUAUAUUUAGUUGUCGGUAAAUUAUUCGAGCCAUUCCUCUUCAAGUUCUCCCAUCCAUUCAUUCACUUCAUGCAUUCAUUUCAUACUCUAUUAUUAGUUACCUCUAAUGGUAUGCUGUUUUGCUUUUGAGAAUUUUUCCAUUUUUUAUGUGUUUUGUUAGGAACGAGAGAGAAAGAGGGAGAGAAGUAACUUAAUCAAACUCUCAAUGUGAAAUCUCUCUGUUGUAAAUCCAAGUUCAGUUUUUCUUACUAUUUGUCACACUUGUUCCUACCUGAAAUGGGUGGAACCCAUAAUGUUUUCUCGAAAGGGAAAAACAGAUUAAUACUAGAUUCUUUGUUCUUGCUUUUGGAAUGUGCCUUCACACCAAGCUGAAAUUUGCGUACUCAUGCCUCCUCCCCAAGGUGAGUCUUUUAACCAAAUAGUGUUCUUUAGUUACUUUUCUCAUUUUUACAGUUUUUUUGGGUUAGUUUGAUGGGAAGAAAGAAAUUAAUUGUGCACCAACCUUGUUGCCUUAUGUUCAUUUUAAUUAUUUCUAUGAAUUCACUUCUCCAUAAAUCUUACUUGAGUUUUCUAUUUGAUACGAUUGUAUUUUUUUGUCCUAAAAUUUGGUGAAACAUGUGAAUUGUUUCCAAAUUACCUGAAAAAUGAACAGCCACAUGGAAAAAUGUGUUGUUUUGUAAGAGUAUGAUCAGGUCAUCAGAAGAUUAAGAAGCUUACACAAUGAUGAUUUCUUGUCAAGUGCAGAUAUUUGGAAGAAACUCUGUCAAAAUUGGUCUCAAUUUGAUCCACUCAUUCAAGAAGGCAUCUUAUGUGCUUAUGGGCUGCCUUUGCUCCAAAGGCGCAAAAGAUGAUACCGAUGCCACUUCUGAGAACAAAACACCAUCGAGGAAUUCUGCUGCAGCAAGUGCUAAGACAGCAACCGGUACAAAUGAUGGCAACUCAGCUGUGAUUGAUGGACAGCUGAAAGAAAAUGCAAGUAAAUUGCAAUUGGGUGAUGGAGAGAAGGCGAUCGUAGCUCUAGAUGUUAGGACCGGUAGUGGUAACAAUGCAGAACUGAAGGGGCUCUCAGGUGAGCAUGUAGCUGCUGGGUGGCCUGCUUGGCUCGCAAAUGUGGCACCAAAAGCAGUAGAAGGCUGGGUGCCUCGGCGAGCCGAUUCAUUUGAGAAAUUAGACAAGGUAAAUAUACUGAUUCGAUGACACCAGAUAUAUAUCCUUCAUUUCUUGAGAUACAAAUUACUCUAAAAAUCGAAUGAUUUUUUUGAGUUGCAGAUUGGACAGGGAACUUAUAGUAUUGUAUACAAAGCUCGGGAUCUUGAAACAGGAAACAUUGUUGCACUAAAAAAGGUGCGGUUUGUCAACAUGGACCCUGAGAGCGUGCGCUUUAUGGCUAGAGAAAUCAAAAUCCUUAGGACACUGGAUCAUCCAAAUGUCAUAAAGCUUCAAGGGAUUGUAACAUCUCGCGUAUCGCAAAGCCUGUAUCUUGUCUUCGAAUACAUGGAACAUGACCUUUCUGGUCUCAUUGCAACUCCUGGCCUCAAGCUCUCUGAGCCACAGGUGGUUGUUAUGCUUCUCUUACAUGGAUUUUUUAGAAAAUUCAUCUUACAUUGAUAUCGUUUAAGAAAAUUGGAUGAACUAAAAUGAUUAAACAUGAAUAUCAGAUAAAGUGCUUCGUUCAGCAGCUGCUUCAUGGCCUUGAUCAUUGCCACAAAAAUGGAGUUCUUCAUAGAGACAUCAAAGGCUCAAACCUUUUGAUUGAUAACAAUGGAGUGCUGAAAAUUGCCGACUUUGGACUGGCAAUAUCUUAUGAUCCCAAGAAUCCACAACCGCUGACAAGCCGUGUUGUGACAUUGUGGUACAGACCACCAGAACUUUUGCUCGGUGCAACAGAAUAUGGUGUGGCUGUUGAUAUGUGGAGCACAGGGUGCAUUGUGGCAGAACUCUUUGCUGGAAAACCAAUCAUGCCAGGAAGAACUGAGGUAUUUCUUGUUUUGCCUUGUGGAAUUCCAGGAAAAACAUUUGAUUUUUGAAAGAUAUGAUUUAUGUGUACUAGUCAAAACCUCAUGUGCCUUUUUGCAACAAUGUCAUACUAGGUGGAGCAAAUUCACAAGAUUUUUAAGCUCUGUGGGUCACCCAUGGAUGAUUAUUGCAAGAAAUCAAAAGUGCCAGAGACAGCAAUGUUCAAGCCUCAGCAUCAGUAUAGGCGGUGUGUUGCUGAGACUUUCAAAGUUUUUCCUACUUCAGCUGUUGUUCUCAUAGACUCCUUGCUUUCAUUAGACCCAGAAGCUCGAGGAACAGCUGCCUCAGCUCUUCAAAGUGAUGUGAGUUUCAGGCUUCAGUGCAUAUCUUCUGUUUAGUGUGGGACAUAGCUUUGCAGAGCCUACCCAAAACCUAACAUGCUGUUCUCCUAAAAAAAAAAAAGCCUAACAUGCUGCAAAUGUAGUUGAAACAUGAAACUAAAAUUCUCUUAGCAGUUUGUGAAAUCAACGAAUGACCAAAUCUGUGUUCCAUCUUGUGUGAACAUUAUGCAUUUAUAAUACUUUGCUUGUAGGAAUGCCUUCAGAUUUGUAGCACUAAUACCAUAUCUCAAACCAAUUUCAGUUUUUCACAAAAGAGCCAUUUGCAUGCGACCCAUCAAGCCUGCCAAAACUUCCACCAAGCAAGGAGUAUGAUGUUAGACUGAGGCAAGAGGAAGCCAGGAGGUACACUUUGCCAACAUAGCCAAAAACCUUGUGACUUGUGAAGCUCAAUGUGGUGCCAACACCUGACUUCUUGUUCUUGCAGGCAAAAAACCGCAGCUCUUGCCGGACAAGGAGCUGAAUCUGUCAGGCCAGAAAAUGACAAUCGUGUAACGAAUCGUACUAUUAGUGGUGUUAAUGGUGAAUUGAAGGUGGGUAUAAGUGGCUAAUCCAAAUUACUGCCCAAGUUUCAAUUUACUCGAUCAUUUUAAACAUAAAUAUCAGAACAUUUGGUUGCUUUAUGGUAUUUUUCACCGCGCCAUGUUUGUUCUAUGGUUCUAAACAUCUUUUUGCAAACUCAAUGCUUCAGUUUUCUUUAACAAAUUUCAAAACAUUUAUAUUUUUCAAAAGUUCAUCUCACCAACUCUGCCUGACAUGCAGCAACAAACACACACCAGCUCAAAGAGCAACAGCGAGGUGUUCAACCAAGAGGACAGUGUUCCAGGGUUUAGGGUGGAACCACGGGAACGUCCAACUGCGGUGCAGCUCCCUGGGUACAGUUCCACAUGGAACAACAUGGAGGGCGACAAUGACCAGCCAACAGUACCUGGCCGCGCUUGCUGCUCAGUGCGCGUCGCGAAUCCUUGUGGCAUAAGGAAGAAGGGGUCAUCACACUCGCUCAUACCACAGUUUGGUGCGACCGAUUUGAGGAGCACUGUUGAAGCUACUGAUCAUAACGACUCACCAGACAGGCAUGAUGAGAACAAGAACCCAGAAGUCAAGGACGGCAUGGUAAGCAUAGCUUUGCUGCUGCUAGAGCAAAUACUGAUGAAAUCCUGCAAUUCUGCACGAGGAUAAAAAGAUUGUAUACCAUGAUUUUGUUUUAUCUCACAUUUCUUGUGCAUUUGCCGUUGUGAUCAGAACCAUGGGAGGAAGUACAGAAGGAUCCACCACUCAGGGCCAUUGAUGCCGCCAGGAGGGAACGUUGAGGACAUGCUCAAGGAGCACGAGAGGCAGAUCCAAGAAGCCGUUCGCAAGGCGCGUGUCAGCAAGCCAGGCAGGUAGCUUAAGUAGUUGGAAGGUGCCUUGGAAUUCUGAGAAGAUGGACCAGAGUUCAGAGGUUGCAACCUCCUAUCUUCUCCUGCAAUUUCAGGCUGCUGCAAAAGCCCAUACGUAGAGUUUUAGCUUGUAACAAUGUGUUAUCAGGUAGGAUAUAAUCACCAUGUAAGAUUGAAGAACAUGACUGGAUUUAUAGAAAUUUUCCCCUCAUAGCAGUACCUGAAAUUAAGAGUUUUUGUGAGGUUUUCAACAGUUGGAUUGUGAUUUUUUCCUUAUUUAAUUUGGAGCCCUGCUCUCCUGGAGCAUGAGAAACUGAGCUGGAUCCAAAGGAGAAAAAGAAGAGUUGCUUUGGUGGUGCUUGUGUGGUUCUGCAUCAAGUCGAUGGAAAACGGAAUGAUUCAGAAGGCUAUGGUACAUCUUGCGAGUGAACCCUUGCCGAUGGCCAUCCAUUUGCCUGAGCAGGUACAGAACAAAACCCAGUUGGCACCAAGUGAUCUAUAAUAAUGCUGGAAUGGCUUUGUUUCAAAUUGUUCCCAGAAAACAGGGAAAACAUAGAAGAAUCCGACAUUUGAUAAAUGAAGCAGGCAAAUGGUGCUAGAAAUAUUAUCAUUCGAUCAUGAAUUCUGAUUGCGAGAGUUACAUCAAACCAGCAUACCUCUGGAAACUGAACGACAAACUUACAGAAUUUAUUCUCUAAACUUGCUAUGAUCAACAUCAUUGAGCCGUUGACAACAGAAAGUUGUGCCCUAUAACGUCACAGGUAAGUAGUGCUUUGAGACACACUGGCAGAAGGUUAGACUAAAGAUGAAGUUUCAGUGGUUCUGGCAAAUCUUCAAUUUUGUCCUUUGGACGAUAGCAGCAACAACUAAACUGAGAACACUUCUUGAAGGUCUGACACCAUGUGCAGUUCUUCAUAAGCAAAUUAAGGUUCGCCUCAGAAAUUUUUCUUAGGAGGAUUUAUUCAUCCUUCAGGAGUUUUCUAGCAUCAUCUUUCCAUUUGAUAAAGUUUAGUUCUGAUUGGAACCAAAUUGUUUUUGUAAGUCACUAAAUGAUACAGUAGCAGAACCCCUUCUCUUAGCUUUUUGCUGUGAUGGAUGCUCCUUCCAGCCAGUCAUAUAAAUAACCUGCACAGACAAGAAAAGAACAUUCGAUGACCAUUGGGGUGGCUCAGUCGGAAUAGUAUCUAAUGGGGGUUUUGUAUUGUUAAAUAAUACUCAGAUGUAACAAAAUUAAUAUUAUACAGCACAACUUUACAAAACCUGAAAGGUUGCUGGAACAGUUCCAUCUUCUAGCCCAAACAUUGACUGGUAAAUGGCCGCAGUUGCCAAAGCUGUAUCUUUCUUUAAUAUCUGAUUAUACAAAUACAUACAAAAUCAAAUACCUGAGUAUGAAUUAGAAUUUGACCUAUUUAUUUGACAAGUACUAUAAUAUACUCACAGGAUUUCUUUGAAAGAGAGCAUUUGUUUCCCCCAUCGCUCUAAGAUGUUCAACAAGUUCCAAAGCUAGUCGAUAGAAGCAGUAAUAUCAGGAAUUCAGGAUUCAAGAGAGAUAAGCAACACAUGGAGAUGUUUAAAUGUUCAACACAAUGACAGAAUUUUCAUCAAUAUAAAAGAACUUUUCAGAUAUAGUACUACCAAUCAUUAUUCCAGGAAAAAGAAGUAUACCCAAUCAUUAAUUCUAAUAGGAAAAGUUAGGUACGUGCCACUCUGAAUAUGAUUUAGAAAUGCUCUGAAGUGGCAUGUACCUGAUUUUUCCUUGAAAAUAUACCACUGAUUAGAAAAGGUAAGUUUUGUUUACAAACCACUAUUGUAUUUCACAGUGUAACGGUCAACGUCAACUCCUGGAAGGGUGAAGCCUGCUCUUGUCAAAAGGUUUCCUGCAUCACGGACCUUGAAAAGUGCAACCCAAUAUCACCAUCAGACUGAAUAAACACCAAUAUGUCAAGAUAAAGCAAUAAUGUGAUGCAAUCUAGCUGUUAAGUGGUUGCAAGUCCUAUCUCAUAAGCGAAAGGCCAGGAAUGUGCUUCUGAGAAACUGAUGCCAUAAAAAGGUGUACGAAGCACAAAAUAAUAUCCUGUUGGGGUCAAACUUCAGAUCGCACAGGAAUCUUACUUGUGCUAAAGGUGACAUUCGGGGACUGAUGCCACCCUCACGCUCCAUUUGAGCAAUUGUACAAGCUAUUCUUAGUUCCCUGAUUAUAGCAUCCGGAAAAGGGCAAGUCAAAGGAUAAUUAGGAUAUGCUGAUGCCAUGGUAAAUGUCAAAAUAUUUUAAAGCUUGCUAGGUUAUCACUUAAGAGUCUCUCCACCGAGAAUUGCUGCAAGAAAAAGGCCAUCAGGCUUCAACGACAACCUACACUGCCAUCAAGUAUAACCAGUUCAUUCAACUGAGAAUAGUUGUAUAUUGCAAACUAUGCUAGCAAGAAUCAAACUAAAAAAAAAUUCACCUGUAUCAUUGCUCCAGGUAGAUCAUUUGUCCAAUGAAGCCCAAGACAACUUAUUAUCGUAUCCUGCGAGCUUCAGAGACCAUAACCACAUUAAUAAUGACAUGAGCAAUAUGCAGAUAGGAAGAUCGGGAAACAUUGUUUGACUUAAACUAAAUAAUUGUGAGAACUGCAUGAUAUUACCUUUAUUAAGUAGAAAUGUGGAAAGAUAAAGAGCUGGUUUGCGUAUCCAAUUUACGAAUGUCAUAUUUUCAACUAAAGGUGGAUAACAUUACUACCGAAUGGUUGAUUGCCAGAAUCAACAAAUCAAGAACAUAAUAAUGCCCUCAAUAAUAUUUACAUGGAACCAACUAACAUACUGAAGACUAACCAUUGCUCCCAUUGAUCUUUACCUUUCUUUGAUUGGAAGGUAUUCUUCAUCUCCGACGACAAACUGCGUCUCGAGGACGUCAUCGGUAGCAUUAUCCAUCUCUCGCCACUUUCUCACCAUGUCGGCCGACAUGUCCAUCAUGAUCAGCUUCUCAAUUCCACCUGUUACACAAGAAAACCCCAAUUCCUCCCAUCACCACAUUACAACAUACUCCCUAUCAAGUUAAAAGCUGGAAAAAUUCAGCGAUUCUACUGGUGCAUAUGUAGAGGGGUUGUCACGCAAGAACAACAAGAGGAGAUAGAUUUGAGGAGCUCACUCACCGCGGCCGCGGAGCGAGCGGCGGACGGCGCCGGCGGAGCCGCCGAGGCAGAGCGCGGAGGGGAACGCCUUCCUGCAGUCCUCGAGGCGGUCGAGGAGGUUGUCGGCGACGGCGUCGGCGAGCGCGUCGGUCUCCCCCAUGGCCCACGCCGCCCGGUCCCGGUGCCGCCGCUUCAGGUCGCGGUCGAAGAUCUUGACGCGGCCGCCGCCACCGCUCCCGUCCCCGCCGUCCAGCCCUCCCGCGGGAGCAGCGGAGGAGGAGAGGUGGGCCCAGCGGUGGCGAGGAAGGUGGAGGAGGCGGCGGCGGGCCGCCGCCGCGGCGAGCCCCGUGGCCAUCGCGAGCGCCGGCGGUGGUGGAGAGAGAGAGGGAGAGCGAGCGUGUUAUGGGCCUCGUGGACAUAGCCACAUGGGCGGAUGGGCCUUUGUGGCUGUGAUUUGCUUUUUUUUUUUUAGGGAUGGGCUGUGAUUUGCUGAAAAUGGAGCUUAAGUACGGAUACGUAAAAUAUGGUUAAUUGAUUUUUAAUUAUUACUUCCUCCGCGUUUUAUAAGGUAAGAUUUUCUACCCACACUCAUAUAAAUAUUAAUGAAUCUAGGUAUAUACAUAUAUCUAUAUAUAUGUGUGUGUGUGUGAAUAUGGGCAAUGCUAGAAAGUUUUACAUUAUCAAACGGAUGGAGUAUAAACUUAAAAAUAAAUUUAUCUAAAUUUUUAAAAUGACUUGUAUAUAAAAUUUUCAUAAAUGGUAUAUUUCGUGGUUUGAAAAAACAUGCUAACGGAAAUUAAGAUAAAAUAUGUAUAUUGACGAGAAAAGAAUAUUGCCUAAGCGGUUAUUUCUGUUCUAAUUGAGAAUUUGACAGCAAACAGAGGAUCACCAUUCCUCUCAACAAGGAAAAUAUAAAAAAAUGUUGCUAAAAAAAGGGGAGAAAACAAGAUCACCGUUACUCCUCGCUCCUCCUAUGCUCCAAGAUUCCAUUUUAAUUUCUUCCAUGUUCUUGUCGAUCACCUGCUCCAUGAUAGUGUUGGUGUUACGAGUAAGAUAUACUAUAUGCUAUACAUGGUUCAUAUUAUAUGGAAAUAGCAUAUACCUAAUAUUAUAGGAGAAAGCAUAUGCAAAUAAGGUGAUAAAGCGAGCCUUCAAUCCAUGCGAAGAGGAUGGCACAUAUCUAGCCUUGAGCUUAAUCGAUAUCGUAAGGCAAAGGGGUUCAUACAAGUAUAUACUAGAGGUUUAACCGAGAUGAUCUUUGUGCAUGCCCGGUCGAUCAAUACAUUCUGCUAGGGGCCGCUGUUGACACGUAGACCGAAAAGGAGUUUUCGGGUUGCAGCCGAGUGUACAUAAAUCUACAGGGUCGCACGCUUAAUGGGCCGGAAUAAGGGGAUUAGAUGGAGAUCCAAUAUGAGCUUAAUUCGGAUAGGGAUCCGAAUAGGAGUCCUACGGGCCUUGGAGGCCCGAGUCAUGGAUUCUAUAUAUUUGUGAGGGGUGUGACCGGCGGAGGUAUUCCAUCACGUGAGAAACCCUAGCCGCCACUCCCCUCCUCGAGCAAAACCCUAGCCGCGCGCAUGUGCUAGCACAUCUGCGCGUGGCGUUCCGUCCCUAUACAUGUGAAUACCGGUAGAGGAGCCGCUGCUUUGCGGUGUUGAUCAGCGUGGGAGUACGGCGAGGAGAACGCACGAGAAGGAGAAGGUCGAGCUGGUGCGGUCAACUACUUCCUCUACAUCGACGCGCGCUACAUCCUGAGGGUUCCUUCGCCUUCUUAUCGCUUUCUUCCGCUGCGCAGCGCGUCGAAUGAUAAUGAUCUAUGAUCUAAUACAUGUAUGGGUCCUGGUUUACGCGGUAGAAAAAAUUUAAUUUAUGCUACCGUAGCCUAUGCGUAUCCUAACAGGAACGUCUGGUUGGAAUGCAGCAGAAGAAUCUUCCAACAAACAUCAAAAAAUGAAAGAAAAGUCGUCUUCCAAAUUAAGAAAAAUAUUAGCUUAAUAGAUCAAUAAAAGAAUUAUUGGCUAAGCGUGAUCAAUCCUUUCUACGGUCUGUUUGAUUUGGUGUAAAUCUUUUUUUUUUGUGAUAAUGGAUUUUCAUUUAUCCAGCCUUUGUAUCCAUGAAAGAUAUACACAGCCAAAAAGAUACAAGAGCACUUAGACUCACACCUCAACGAUGAGAACAUAGAACCAGAAAAAGAAAACCUACACCUCACCACACCCUGCUGAAACGGCCAGAUUCCGUUAGUGAAAGUCUUCAAGUCACCACCACCCCUAGUGCGUCGUCGCUGAGAACCUCUGCUGAUGCCAUCUUCAUUCGCUUCAGGUGAGUUAACGCCACACGCCACCGAUUAGCCCACCAUCAUCCAUCCUCGUCCAAGUCAGAACUAGCUGACCAGAUGUAGGCCGAGGGAUCUGCUUCCACUUCGUAUGAUUUCUAGGCCUUCGUCGGGCUGUCGCCAUCGUUGGGAUCCUUUUUCGCCUCCCGGAUUCCUAGCCCACCACCGCCCUUGGACGCCUCUGUCAGUGUCCAUUUGCUGAAAACUUAGACCUCCGUCGUCGAGGAUAUCUUCAUCCGCCUAGACUCCCAAGCCUCCAUCGUCCCUAGGGUCGCCGCCGCCGCCAAGAUCCACCUCCGCCUUGCAGAGAACCUUGCACCGGCGCUCAGGCCCCCGCCGUCCCGGGCUGCUGCUGCCCCUAUAGGGCUACCACUGCCAUAGUUGAGGAAGUCCUUUUCACCCUGAAUCCCAGGCUACCGCCAUCCCUAGGGCUACCUUCACUGGAACCACCAUCUCCUUCCUGAGGACAUGCCGUCAACGCUCAGGCUGCCACCGUCCGAAGAGAUGUCGCUGCCUUCGUCUCGCCGCUACGUGCCCGACCACCUUUACUGUCAUCGCUAGCUUGUGCGGCUAAUGAGUUCGACCGCCUCCGACCGCCACCACAACACCUCCGCUUCCCGCAGGGACGCCGCCGCCUCGCCGCUACCCGCCCGGGCACAUCCGUUGCCACCGUCAACACUCGCAGCCAAGCACGAGUCCGGCCACCUCCGACUGCCACCGCAGCGCCUCCGCCGCCCGCCUUCCCACCACCGCCCGGAGGAACACCGCCGCUUCACCGCUACCCGCCCGGCCACCUCCGUUGCCGCCGCCAACCCACGCGGCCAGGCACGAGUCUGGCCGUCCGACCGCCACCGCAACUUCUCCGCUGUCUGUCUCCCCGCCGCUGCCAUCCUAUCCGCCGCGUAGACCGCCGGUCAGCUCUGGCGAUGGCAGGGCGGAUCUAGAUAUGGGGAGAGGAAAGUUUCGGCCGUGGGAGAGGAAAGGGCAGUUUCGCUUCAACCUUGUAGUCGGCUCGACUUGGGGAAGAUUGCCGACAGAUAGUCGAUCCACUGACCUGAUUUGAUCUAAGUCUAAUCACUUUGAUUGUUUAGAUGUGUUCCUUUCUCAAAAGAUCUCUGUAAGACUUUAUGUUUUUAUUCCUCCUAACAUAUCCAGCAAAUCUGCUAUCGUUUGAAGUUUCUUUUAAGAAAAAAUAUAAAAGUAACAACUCCCUCUGAAAAUAGCUAGCUUUAGAGUAGUUGCUUUUGAGUGUUAUUUGUAAAUUAUUCUUAUCGAUGAGGAUUUGUAUGUCGAAACAACAACACUCUUAUUUAAUCCAUGGUAUAUGAAUUUAUCGAUGAUCGGUCUUGAUUGCGUUUCUGUGGUUCGUCGAUGGCCACGUAGUGACCGCCCGGAGCUGGUGCAACGUCGCCAUCACCCAAUAUAUGUUACUCCAUUUUUUUUCCUCGUUCGGUCUCUUCUAAAAUAAAUUUAUUUUUAACCAUCAUCAUUGUACCCAAGUUUAUAAAAGUAAAGAUAAAUACACUUAAAAUAAAUAAAAGAAGAAAUAAUUAUAUUAAAAUCUGAUAAAGUAAGAAUAUUUUUGUUUGUAUUAGUACGGUAAAAGAGUGAAAAACACACACUUUAACGAAGGGAGUACUACUCCGUAAAAAAAUCAAUCUAGUAGUAGAUGUUGACACAUCUUAAUACUAUGAAUCUCGUUACAUUCGUAGUAUUAGGAUGUGUCAAUAUAGAUUAGUUUUUUAUGAAACAAAGGUAAUAUUACUUUACUCGUACAAACCAAAUUAAGGCUGUGUUUAGUUCCACGUCAAAAUUGGAAGUUUGAAGAAAUUAGAAUAAUGUGACGGAAAAAUUGAAAGUUUGUGUGUGUAGGAAAGUUCGAUAUAACAGAAAAGUUAAAAGUUUGAAGAAAAAAAAGUUGGAAUAUAAACAGGGCUAAGGCGAGUUUAGUUUGCACAAAAAUUGGAAGUUUGAUUGAGAUUAAAACGAUGUAACGGAAAAGUUGAAAGUUUGUGUGUGUAGAAAAGUUUUGAUGUGAUAGAAAAAUUAAAAAUUUGAAGAAAAAGUUGGGACCUAAACCAGAUUUAGAUGGGACGUAUGAUGUGAUGGAGUAGGGCACGCAGUUGAUGGGGUAUGAUUACACAUGUUUUUAAAUACUCUCUCCGUCCCAAUCACCGAGCCUAUAUAAUAAGGUAGCAGCUAGCUUCUUCUUCUUCCAAAACUUUGCUAUAGCAUCCUGAUAAUAAUUAGAUCGAUCGAGCUAGCCAUGGACGAGUACCUGCCCCAGCAGAAGAAGGUCGACGAGGAGCAGGCGGCGGCGGUGGACACCGGCAAGACGAACGGGAAAGAGGCGGCGAAGCAGCACGGCCACAUCCGCAUAGACGACGACUUGGUGGAGUACGUCAACUUUGGCGCCGUCGCUCAGGCUGGAACGGCCUAUUUCGUACGUACCACUCUACUACUACUACUACUAUCAGCUGCUACCUCCGUCCCAAAAUAAAUACAGUCAUGAAUAUCCAUGUUUAAUGUUUGACCAUCCGUCUUAUUUGAAAAAUUUAUGAAAAAACUAAAAAUAAUUAGUCACAUAUAAAGUACUACUCAUGUUUUAUCAUCUACUUCCUCCGUUUCGCAAUGUAAAUUAUUAUAACAUUUUCUACAUUCAUACUGAUGUUAAUUAAUUCAUUAACAUCAGUAUACAUGUGGGAAAUGCUAGAAUGACUUACAUUGUGAAACGGAUGGAGUAAUAACAAUAAAAAUACUAAUCAUAAAAAAAUUUCAAAUAAAAUGAACGGUCAAACGUUAAAUAUAAACAGUGCAAAACUGCACUUAUUUUGGGAUAGAGGGAGUAAAUUACUACUCCAGCUAAUUAAAUAUGCGAUCAGAGUCUAAUGUUUCACUUAAUUCAACUAGCUGCUAGUAGAUGAUACCAUACCCCACGUUAUUGCUAUGGAUUAUGGAAAGACAACGGGAUUCAUCAAGCAGAAAGCUAACAGCUAGCAAACUAAUUAAGCUCUACAGAGAUGAUACAAAAUCAUUGUCAAUUGAAAUUACAGUGCUGAAUAAUAACAAGGUGGGUGUGGAUAAAUUUUAGUAUUGCGUAAUUUCAGUGAUAUGCGGUUUUGUGUUAUGCACCUAGAUUGAACAAAUAUGAUGACCAAUCCUGAACUGAUGGACGCCUCACACAUAUAACAUUUGUACUAAAUCUUUAAAUCAAAUUAUAUUAAUCACAGAACAAAUCAUACAUGUGAGCUGCCCUGUUUGGGAACUAUAUAUAAUCAAUUCGUUUCCAUAAAUAAAAGGUCGGUGAAUUGAGCCGGUGGGCCGGUGGAGCUAGGAGUGUAUGAAAUCGAACGGUUGUGUGUUUUAGAUCAAUACGAGUCUAACGGUUCUUAGUUAUUUAUUUGAUGACGACUUGGAAGCUAGUGGCGGAGGUAAAAACUAGCUCCAAGAUAGGGCUCAACUAAUGAAGUAUUAAUUUUCUAAAAAAAUUUACACGGUGAAUUAAUAAAAUUUAAGUAUGUUUUUGAAGGCAGCGCUAGGGCUUAGGCCCUGCCCUAGGCCUGCCCCCAUCCCUGUUGGAAGCCUAUGAAAAGAGAGAGAGAAAUAUUUAGUGCUACUUAGUAGGAAAGUAAUUGUAUAGUAAUCUCUCCGUUUUAUAAUAUAACAGUCUAAGAUUGAAAUAUACAUAUAUAGUGCAUCGAAUUUGGAUGGAAUUGGUGGUGCCAGAUUCGUUACAUAUGUAGUGUCUUAUCCCCGCUAUAGAUUACUAUAUAUAUUAUAGAACAAAUGAUUACUAUAUAUAUUAUAAAACAAAUGAAGUAUUAUAAUAAGAGCAGGUUUAAUAGUGUAUACAACCUGCCGACGAUUAAAAGCGCCACAUCAGAUUGGAGGUGAUCAAGAGACCGUAUAUAUAGCAGUUGGCUAUUGGCAUGAACUCCAAUAGAUUGAUCUAUAUUUUUCUAAUUUAGCUUUCACACACAUAUGCUCUCACAUGGACCUCACAACCAUGUUUCUAUACUGGCUGGUGUUGUCCGUCUCACCUAGGGAUGUGUUUGGAGCCGGCGGCAAAUUAAUCACCGACGCAUAUACUCUCUCCACUUAUUCCUCUUCUAGCUCAUCACUUCUUCUUGCACGCAUGCAUUACCAUCGGCUUAAACUGUCUACUGUUCUUGCUCUAACUUAGUAUUGUGCAUAUGCAUGCAGGAAAAGAAGUACGAGGCGGCAACCGGGGAGAAGGCGGCGGACAAGGUGGUGAGGUUGAUCGGCAAGGAGGAGACCAAGGAUCGGGACCAGGAGGAGAAGAACAAGGGCGUCGUCUACCAGUUCUGAUAGAUAUCAAUCAAUCAUGCAUGUAUAACAUAUAGCUACCGCACGCCACAUGUGUUCAUGUGUGUGCUUGGUUGUACUCCCGAUCUCUUAUCUAAGGCAAGUACUAUAUGUUUUGAAUAAGUGGCAUGCAGUGGUAAUUAAUACUCCAUUCGUUUUUUUACUAUAUGUAUACUGUUUAUGAUGUACCAAUCCUCUUACGUAAUUAGUUAAUACUACAUUAAAAAACUUUAAUGUACAACGUUAUUAACUUUUAUCGUGACGAUUAACUAUUUAUCUUAUUAAAAAAUUAUAUACAUGUCGUUUGUUGUAUCGUGAGUUGUUAAUUUUAUCAUAAAGGAACUCUAAUCUUAACUUAUAUUUUAUAUAUUUACACUAAAUUUUUAAUAAGACGAACAAUUAAAAGUCAACGAUAUUAUGUAUUAAAAAACAAAGGUAGUAGUUGUUGGAACAAAUCCAACUAGUGUACUCAAGCUGUAUUCUGUAUUCAAUGUGCUCAACUGUGAGCAAUGCUUUCAUAAUUAUACUGGGGUAUACAAGAAGAAAUUUCAUUAUUGCACCCUAGUCCUAUGGGCCAAUCUAGAGUGGCUGGCCGGUGGGCCCGCCCUCGAGCUUUUAGUAAAAUCCCCAAUGACAGGGAUGGCUGCGCCCAUUAAGAAGGCGAUAACGCCUCCCGAGGGUGCUGGCUAUUACCCGGGCAAAGCCGUGCUUUCCGGGUAGUGGCCUGUGCUGGCCCGUCCCUGUAAUGACGCCAGAUAUGGUUGGCGGGUGCGUAGUGCGUAUUUAUUACGGCCCACUGCGCUCUCGGGGUCCGCCUUCGCCUCCGGCCUGGGGCUUCCUCAGCGCUCCGUAAUCUUGGCCAACUCCGAAGACCUUGGUUGGCUCCGAAGGCCAGGUGCAUCAAGCGGGCCUGAUAGCCUCUAGAGUCUGGAGGCUUAAUGGGCUCUGGAGCCCUUGGUUGGAUCCGGGGGUUUGAUGGGCUCUGGGCUGAUAGGCUCUGGUGCCCUUGGCCAGCCUUCGGAGGCAUGAUGGCCAUGGGAGCUCCAGGCUGUCUUCGGUCGUUUUCCCAGGAUGGGGGUAGCUCCGGGAUAGAAGCUACUUGACGGAGAUGAACUCCGUCAAUCCGGAGCCACUCCCCCAAUAGUAGUUAAUUUAUGUAUAGUUAUACUAUAAUCCUGCUAGCUGGGGUUAUAAGUAUACUAGUGCGGUUGCUGACGUUUGCUUUCUGACGGCUGAAUUCCUUAGCUAGCUUCUACUCCCUCUGUCCUAUAAUAUAAGUGAUUUUGGAGGGAUGUGACAUAUCCUACCAAAAUCACUUAUAUAUAAGGGGGAGAGGGAGUAGUGGAUAGCACUUCUUAUAUCGAGGAGGUGGAUUUUCGUCUCUCAAGAGAAACAUGCAUGUCUUCAAUUUUCACAUGUCAUUUAUAAGUCAGCUUGCUUAAUGUGUUUUUAGAUAGGUUGAUGCUACAUAUCUGUAUUUUCUAUAAAAUUACAACAUACUAAGUUUAAACUCAAUAAACAACCCUUCCACAUCAUCACCCACUAGUAAUAAUUACAUAUUUAACCUCAUGCAAGUAUGCAACAUCAUCUACAAUCUAUUUAAUUCUACAAAUCAAAAAUGCAAGAUACCCAAUCAUCAUCCUCACAUUAUUUCCAUAACAUUUUAAUAAAUAUAUCUAUCAUUUUAUAAUAUUUAGCAUAUACUUAUCAAUAUGUUUCUCAUUAAAGCGUGUGUACCAUUUGUUUGUUUCAUGAUAAGUACUGAUAAACCCUAGUGUUUUAUUAAUUUUUUCUUUUUACUUCUAGUUUGAUUGUCGAAAAAAGUAUAUUGAAAAUUGUCUAGCGUCACCCUAGUGUGUGUGUAUAUAUAGACGCGAUCGCACACACACGAUCGAUCUGCGGUCAAUAAAACCCGUGCAGAGAACAUAGAGAUAUUUUAAUCCACGGGAUCCACUUGCGCAUGCAUUUAUCGAUCAAAAUUGAUUGUGUUUCUAUGCACGGUUCGUCGACGGCCAGGUAUAGCUACACUCGGAGCGGUUGCAACGUCGCCAUUAGCCGAUAUGUUAUGGCCUUAACCAAAUUAAGAGUGAUACUGGUGAUCGAGAUGGAGCGUUCGAUGUGAUCGUGCUACACUAUUGAUCAAUUAUAUAUGAACUAAGAAGAUAGCCCGCGUAUUCACGCGGGCAUGCAUCGUGAGCAGCGUUUGAGAAUGGAUCAUAUUAAUCGAAUAGCCUCUGCAAUGUUUUGAGAGUAUGUUUCCUCGACAAAUAUUCAUCGUCCGUAUCGCUUUGAUAAUUUCUCUAACCUAUAUUACAUAUAAUAUUUAAUUUAACUGUAUAAGCAAUUAUAUAUAAUCUUCAUCAUCAUUUAAGACUUAGUUUGUUUAUAAAACAUGUUAAAUAAAUUAAGUAUAAAUUCAAAGAAAGUCAUUUUUUUCUUUUGUUAGUUGAAUGUUUUGGGUCCAUUGGUGAAAACGUAAGACCUAGCUAAACUGGUUGUUUACGGUUUUCUUUAAGGAAUUGGAUUUUCUUUGGACUAUUCAUAUUUUAUAGUUAGUUCUAUUUUCUUAGAUAGUGUAUAUCUAAUUUAGCUACACGUGUUUGCAAAAACAACAUAUGAUGAUGCAACCUGUGUUGUUAGAUCAUUUCAAAAUUCUUUUAUGGCAAUUCAAAUGACAUGUAAAAGGGCAGGGGUAUUCCACCUCAAUAAUAAAAUGUACGACAGUUCACUUGUAAUUUUUAUUUGGAUACUAUUGGUUUAAUUUAGCUAUGCAUGUUUACGGAAUGAUGUAAAAUGACGUAAUAUAUGCAGUCAAUUUGUUUGAGGUAUUUCGAUUAUAUUUGGAUGGUAUGCAAAGCGCAUGGGUCGAAUAUGGCUAAAUGCGAUAUUUUGUAUAUAGGAAAUAAGAUGUGUAACUUAAAAGUUAUGGUUGUUUUAAUAUCUAAAAUUAUUGAUUAUUUCUCUUAUAUUUUAAUAGCUAAAUAUAGGGAGGGGACAUGCAAUGAUGUGCGCAUGUGAUUGGGGUGAAGAGGUGGAUGGGAUUUAUUUUUCUAACCUUUUCUAAAUAAUGUAACUUAAAACCAAUAAUGAUAGGUUUCAUUAUUUUUCUCAUAAUUUCUAAGAUUAUUUAUGAUUUUUAGGACAUAAUACGUGGCAGCGUAAGUUUUUUUUUUAAAAUUAGAUCUAAUAGUUAAAAAUAAUUGGUCAUUGAUUUAAUUGAAAUAUUUUGUAAUUUUAAGACGUGACAUAUGGUGACUUAAGUGUGAUCUAAAGGCUGUUUAAUUGGUUUUAUUAUGUAGAAUGAUUUAAUAUGACAUAGUACAUAUUUUGAUCUUUUAAAUUAUAAUGUUCCAUUGUCAUUUAGUUUCCAUGCAGAGUAUUUUAAUUUUUGUAUAGUAAAAUACAGCUAUAAUGGAUCUUUAAUUAUUUAAUUAAUUGUAAAUAAAAAAUGGUUCAAACAAAUUAAAAAUCAAAUAUAAUUUUAGAUACUAUAAAUCGUUUAGGUACGUUGUUUUAUAUUAUGUUGUUAGUUAAAAAAAAUAGAAGAGAGGAGGAGGGGAGUAAGAAGGGAGAGAACCAUAGGUACAGCGGGAAUAGGGCCGGAGAUUUAUAUUCCAACAGGUCUCAAUUUUGAGUUAUCUAUUUCUUAUUUUUUAGUGAUAGAUAUAAUUUUAGAUCACUGAGAAAAUAUGUCAGGUGUUGUAUUUUCUAAUAUAAGCUAAAUGAUGCUAAUCAUAUGGUUUAAAAAUCUAUGUGAGUUUUUCUAAAAAUGUAUGGAGUGACCAAUAGCUAGUCUCUUGCCAUAUAGGAUCCAAAGUAAUACAUUUAUUGUACUUGUUAAAUAUAGUUAAUUUGGAAAUUGAAUUCUAAACUUUUUAUUGUAAAUAAUCCCAUGACAUGCACGAAUAAAAAAAUCAGCUCUAUGAUUUAGACAAUACAGUUGUUUUAAAAUUUUUAUCAGAAAAUAUGUUUUCUAUAUAUAUAAUAAUUGCUUGAAAACAGGAGGGGAGGUCUCCCUCGUGCAUCACGUGAGGCCAGGGUGUGGUAUAUGGUACGUAACUACAUACGUAUACAUAAUGAGCCUUUUCUUUUGAUGGCUGGAGGUGGGGUGUGGGCCUUUUCUUUUUUCCUCUUUAGAUCAAUCUGAUUGUAUAUUAGUGAAAAUCAACUAUUAGAUGUUUUGCUUUUUUCUCUAAUUUGCUAGAGUAACACGUGGUAAGUUAAGAGCGUUUCUAGAAUGCCACAUGGCGGCUUGAGAGCUGCUGGCCUUGGGCCAACAAAUCCCACAUGACAAUGCAACAAAUCGCCCCACGCGCGGCGGGGGAGCUUUUUUUCGCGUACGGAUAGGAUGAAAGACACCCCGAUCGAACGAUGAGGAGAAAAACGGCUGAAAAUGCAAAAAAAAUUCAGCUGUUUUCCACGUAGAUGAUCCCUUAAUAUUAUGGAUCUACCGAUUUAAAUGGACAUUAAUGAUUAACUUUUUUUCUAAAUUUAAAUUAUUAGCUAGAAAAAAUAGGAAGAUGCACGGAGUAAGUGUACGUACGUGCCUUUGUGCGUGCAUGGGUGUUAGGAGGGAUUAGUCAGCGUACGUUUGUUGUGCACGGGGUGUUCGGAGGGAUUAUAAUCCCAGACUUGCGAAGUAAUUUGAUGAAAGAAUUGAUGUGUUGUAUGUGUUGCUAGAUCAUAUAUACAUUGGUAAAAAUACAAGUUCAGUUGCAUAAUGUGGUGAUAAAAGUAAUGUUUAGCAAUCCAUUUGACAUGUGGAUUGUAUUAUAGUUUUAUAUUUUUUUUGUCUUCAAAGAUAAUUAUUCUGACGGUACCAACGUGGUUUUUCUGACGGUUGCCCGCCGGAAUUUAGAUGGCAAAAACCUGACGACAAUGGAAUUUACCUGUGUUCCACCCACAGGAAUAAGCCGACAGAAUUGUUAUUUCUGUAGGGAAACCGACAGAAAAAUUGAAUUUCUCCGUGGUGAUUUUUCUGUCGGCAAUUUCUGUCGGUCCACCCACAGGAAAAUAAUUUCUGACGGUAUAAUGUAUUUUCCUGACGGUUUUAGGCCUACAGGGUAGCCCGUAAGUCUGGUAGAAUUAGUCAUCUUUUCAUCUAAUCUAAAUAGGAAAGAGAAAAAAAAUGGAUGUGCAACUGGGAGUACGUACGUGCGUACGUUUGUUUUUUUGGCAGGAAUACCUAUCCACAUAAUUAAUGUGAAGUUUUUAAAUAGAUCUAAUGGUUGAAAAUAGUGGGUCCACCAGAUUAAAUGAAAAUCGAUUGUUAGAUGUUUUGUUUUUUCCUUAGAAUUUCUACAAUUUAUUAGAGUGCCACAUGGCGGUAUAAGAACGUUUUUAGGGGUGCACGUGGCGGUUUAGGAGCGUUUGUAGGAAGUUUAAUGAACUUUUAGUAUAUAAUAGAUAGAUAAUAGAUAGAUAGAUCGCAAACUCCAGUAAACCAUUUAUUUCACACAGGGUCAUCUUAAUAAUUUUGAGGGGCCAUUACUCCAAAUGUUAUGGAGAUAGAAACCAAAUAAAUUAAGCGUGAUACGGUGAUGGUGAUCGAGAUGGAGCGUACGAUAUGAUCGUGCUACACUAGGUAUUAAUCAAUUAUAUAAUAUAAUCACAAACUCCAGUAACCCAUUUAUUUCACACGGGACCAUCUUAAUAAUUUUGAGGGGCCAUUCCCCCAUAUGUUAUGAAUAUAGAAACCAAAUUAAGCGUGAUACUGGUGAUCGAGAUGGAGCAUAUGAUGUGAUCACGUUCUAGACUAUUAAUUAAUUAUAUAUUAAUCGCAAACUUGAGCAACCCGUAUAUUUCACACGAGGCCAUCUCAAUAAUUUUGAGAACAUUGUACUAUCAGUAUUAUGAAUAAGGCAUACCCAAUAGUCUUAGAUUAAGCUCGACAAGACUUAACGAAUAUCAAGUCUUAUAUGGAAUCAUAUCUCAUAUAUGGAAGGUAUUCUGGAUAAGAAAGGAGAGGCAGAGUUUUACAUGGAAAUUACAAGGACUUCAGAUUAUAUUUGGACAAUGGGACAUCUUUAAGUAUAAAUAUAAGGCCAUCUAGUAGGAGAGAGGAUAAGCAUUUUAAGUAUAAAUAUAAGGCCCCUUAGCAGGAGAGAGGAUAAGCAACAGUCAGAAUAGACACCAAUACACGACACCAGAUAUCGACAUCAGAGAUAGACAUACCCAAUCUUGGUGCCACAAACUCUGAUCUCACCGAGUUCGUAUUUGACGAGGAAGACUAUCCUGUCAUCGACUACGGGUGGUGGUUCAUGCUGCCGUGUCGACGACAGUUAGAUAGGUUAUCCCAAAUAUUAUACUUGAGCGAUUUUGAUGAAUAAGAACAACAUCGGCUUCGGCCAACAUGAGUAGGGCUACUACCACUACUAGAAAAACGAUUUUUCAUGGCGUCAUCCUAUAAUUUUCGCUGGCGGCCGUACUCGAAAACCGCCAGCAAAAAUGUAACGAGGGAUGGGAUGCUACGGACCGCUAGCAAAAAUCUAUUUUCCCUGGCGGCCAGGCUAAGAGAUCCGCUAUAAAAAAAACUCUAUUUUUCGAGGCGGACCUCUUAAGCAUCCGCCAGGAAAAAUCAUGUUUUUGCUGGCGGCUACUAAACACCUCCGCCAGAGAAAAAAGGUUUUUCAUGGCGUUUUUUACCCCUGCAAUAUUUUAAAACCACAUCAUGUCUUCUCUCCCGUCUCCACCCACCUCCUCUGUCAUCUCCACCCACCUCCCCUCUCCUCUUCUCUCCACCCAUCUCUCCCUCUCCUCCCCCUUCACUCCCCACUAGUAGCGGCGGCGAGCCCAGCAGCAGCAGCAGCACGCGGAUCGAGGGGGCGGCGGUCGAGGCGGCGCGCGGCGGCGGCGGCCGAGCGGCUCGCGGCGGCGGCGCCCGAGGCGGGGCAUCGGCCGGCUCGCGGCGGCGGCGCCCGAGGCGGGGCGUGGGCCGGCUCGCGGCGGCAGCGCCCGAGCGGCGCGCGGCGGCGGUGCCCGUGCAGCUCGCGGUGGCGGUGCCCGAGGCGGCUCGCGGUGGAUCCAGCGACGGGACCAGAUCCGGAGCAGAGGAGCAUGCGGAUCGAGGCGACGCGCCUCCCCAGGUCUCUCUCCGCCGCCACCACUCUCUCUCCCUCUCUCAGAUCUGGUGCACGGGCCACAAUGGAGGCUGCGGCACGGCUCUGCAGCGGCGGUGGUGAGGCGGAGGCGGUGGAUUUUUUUUAAGAACAGCGGAUGAAAUUUUUUGGUAUUUUAUUGUGAUUUGUGAAUGGAUUGGGAUGGUUGAUGCCAUACUGCAGCCGUGCGCUGAUAAUUCAAAUUUUUGUGAUGCUCAUGCUUGGUGGAUGGAGCGUUGACGGACGGAGCGAACGCUCCGUCCGUCUUUUUUUUAAAAUUUGGUCAUUAUUUUCUCUGGCGGCUGGUAUAGUGUAACGGCCAGCAAAAAAAAAUAUUUUCGCUGGCGGCCGUCUUAAACCAGCCACCAGCGAAAAUGGAUUUUUGCUGACGGCUGGCUUAAGAUGACCGCCAGCGAAAAUGUUUUUUCGCUAGCGGUCGAUAACCGCUAGCGAAAAUCUUGAUUUUCACUGGCCUUUGCUUUGUGGCGGCUCCAAAUUCCGCCAGCGAAAACCCAAAAUAGCCGCCACGAAAGAUGGUUUUCGUAGUAGUGUACCUUAUAGAUAAAGAGGUCCGAACGUGUAUAAAAAAUUCCUCAAUCUCGCGUAUACCCUGGUACUAACGAUCCCUAUACAAUGCAAAUACCGUAGUCGUGAUCUACAACAUCGACAUAUACGAACUCGACACUAUAGGUUCUUAAAGUUUUUUACUUAUAAUUUAUACUUUAAAACACAUAUCCUAUGAAAGUGACAUAAAUAAACAUUUCUAACAUGAUAAAUAAUAAAUCAAGUAGUUGUAAAUUACAAUAUACUCCCUCCAUAUUUUAAUGUAUGACGCUGUCGGUGACAUGGGAUCGGGAGUAUCAUGACUAGAGGUUUGAGGCAGACACAAUCGCCCACGUGGCCUGGCACCCUCGGGGGACGUCGGGCCCAAGAUGUGUUCGCCCUCCUCUUAGUCCCCCCGAGGGGGUCGAGCCGCACCCGCCUCGGCCCCGAGGGCCGAGGCGCCCCGACCCCUCGUGGGUUUUCGCUCCGCGUGUAUGGGUUAGGUGGGCACAGUGGGGCUCACCUAACCACAUUUAUUGCGGUUUGGCUGAGCGUGUCACGCCGCAUGUAACGCGGUGCAGUGCACUCAUUUAUCCGGUCUGUGACCAGUCACAGACCGGUCAGAUCGCGGGUUAGGUGGCGACAGGCGAUCUGACGCACGCCUCGCCCCAUCCCGUCAGGACAAGGGCUUCUAGGCACUCGUCCCCAGCUGGAUCAGCGUGUUACCUCCCAGAGAUGACACGUUAGUCCUGGUCAGAUAUAUGCCAGGCUUCAUCCUAACCAUUACAGGCAAAAUGUUGUGUGAAGAAGGGCCAACGUGCAGAUUGCUAAGAUGACGCGUGGUGGACAAGAAUGACCGAUUUGUGACCAGUCUGACACUGGUCAUGUCGUCAGCAGACAGCCAUGAUUCCGCGUCGCGCCUGCUCCCGGCGAAAGUGGAGGUAGGUGCGGGCCGUCCCAUCAGAAGGUGACUCGAACGGCAACCAUGCAAAUCUCCGUCCAUUUAUGAAAAGGUAGGGUAAGUCCCCACAGAGAGGGGGGAUGGUGCAUGUGGUAUCCCCUUAAGAUAUAAAAGGAGGACCUUGCCCACGGAGAGAGGGGGGUUUUUUGAUUGGACUGGACUUUUCCAGAUUAGAAACCCAGAACAAGGGAGAGGCAGGCUCAUACUUUGUAGCUCCUUCACACACGAAUCCACCAAAACACAGGAGUAGGGUAUUACGCUUCUAAGCGGCCCGAACCUGUAUACAUCGCCGGCGUCUUCUGUGCUUCCUGUCUCGCGAACCUUCCACAUACAGAUUGGGAGCUUGGAGUCUCACCUAGGGUCCCCGGCCGAACCGGCAAAGGGGGGCCUGCGCGGUCUCCCGGUGAGGAGCCCCACUCUCCGUCAGACGCCUUGACUUUUUAACCAACGUUUGACCACUCGUCUUAUUCAAAAAUUUUAUGCAAAUAUAAAAAUACUUAUGUCAUGCUUAAAGAACAUUUGAUGAUAAAUCAAGUCACAAUAAAAUAAAUUAUAAUUACAUAAAUUUUUUGAAUAAGACAAAAUGUCAAACGUUUGUCAAAAAGUCAACGGCGUCAUACAUUAAAAUAUGGAGGGAGUAGUAUUUUAUUUUCGAUUAAUAAUAUUGACAGUAUAAUUGACAACCAAAAACAUGUAGAAACAAAGUAGUAUAAAUAGCUCGAUAGAAGACCACAAAUACCCAAUGACUUUUAUAAAAAAAGAACUUAUUCGGGUAUUUCUUGAAGCAAAAUGUUGUUGAAGAUAUUGAUCCCUUUAACAGUUGAACCCAGAUUCCUAACCUAGGCAAUAGAAGGGGGAAAACAAAUAGGAUUAGCAGAACAAAUCAAUUCUAAUCAGUGAGAAGGAUCGAUGGAUUGGAUCAUCACCUGAUCUAGCUUCACUUUUGAUGGUUAAUUUGUUUCCGCUUCCGGCCUCCAGUUCUGUUGUCUCCAUGGCAUCACGGCGCCUCCGCGAUUUCCAUGCGACAGGAGCGGAAGGCAGAGUGUCACAAGAAGCGCGAAGCAUCGGGUUGGGUGCAAUUAUGUUUUGGAAUAAGUUCACUACAAGUCUCUUAAUUUAUCGCCGAGUCUAAAAUUCAUUUCUAAACCAAAAUACGAGAUACAACACAUCCCUCAACUUUCAAAACCGUCACAAAUAAGGUCUCCAUGUGGUUUGGAGGAUGGUUAUAGCUGACGUGGCGCCUACGUAGAUGGUUUGUAUAGCACGUCAGCUGAAACCGCCACCCAAACCGCCUUAGGACCUUAUUUGUAGUAGUUUUGAGAGUUGACGGACAUGCUAUAUCUGCUAUUUCGAUUUAGGGAUGAAUUUCAAACUCGGCGACAAAUUAAGGGACCAGAAGUGAACUUAUUACUUACGUUUUUGCACGUCGUUAGCGCUAGGCUGGGCCACCAGGAAACCGAGGAGUGCCAAAUAAGGAAUAAGUUCACUUAGUGACCCUCAAAAGUAAACGAAAUCUAAUCCGUGACCCUAAAACACGAAACCGGAUAUCUCAACCCCAAACUCUUAAAACCGGUACAAUUUGACACUUGGAGGGCGGUUUUGCUGACGUGGCGGUAUUGACCGGGUCUCCUUUACACGUGGCGUUGAGGUGGCAUUUAGAAUUUAAAAAUAUAUGUGGGACCCAUUUGUCAGUGACACAUAAAAAAAAAUUGUGGGACCCACGUGUCCCUUCUCUUUCCCCUCCCUCCAGUUCCUUCUCCCUCCUCGCGCGCACGCUCUCUCCUGCAGCAAUGCAGCGAACGGCGAGGGCCGGAGCGGCGGCGGGCGGAGACGGCGGCGAGCGGCGGAGGCGCGAGCGUGGCGCGGCGGCCUGCGACUGCGAAUGGCGGAGAUGCGGGAGUGGCGGCGGCGGCGCCCGGCCUGAGCUUCAUCGCCUCCUCGCCGACGGUGACCAGUCGUUCGAGCAGGAGGACGGCGGCGGAAGGCACACGCGGCGGGGUCGAUGACGACGACGUCCUCCACCGUCACCGCCGCCGCUCAUCGGCUCAUGUCGACGCGGUCCAAGUCGGUGCCGGUGCCUUCGCCGGCGAGGGCGAGCGGCCCAGCCACCCAACCCAGCUGCGCCACGCUCCACGCCAGUGCCAGCACGCCGGAGCCGAUCACCGCCGUAACAAUGUGUGCCGUCGCCGCCCAUACCGUGCCUGCAAAAAAGACCCAGUUAACCGGAAUCACCACCAGCUCAAACGAACCAAACAAUUCUCAAUCUCAACCCAACUCGCAAGGUGUCCCAAGAAAACAAAUAGCCGAUGACCCAUGCGGCAUGCAUGCCGUAACCAGUCAAAGAAAACCCCCCAAAAAAACCGGGGAGAAGAAAUCAAGAACCAGCAAGGACGAACACGUACGCACCUUUCCGCUCGUGCUCGCCGCUCUCGCCGUCUUCCGGUGCGGCGUUCUUGUUCAUGUUGUCGGCGAGCCCCGUAGGUGUCACGAGGGAGAGUGCGCGAGGAGGGAUGCGGCCGAGGCGUGAACCGUUAACGAAUCUGGACGGUAGGCCGUAUAUAUAGGGAGGCCGCGUGUGCCUCCCACCGCCGUCCUCCUGCUCAAACGCCUGGUCGUCGUCGGCGAGGAGGCGGUGAAGCUCAGCCCAGGUGUCGCUGCCACCGGUCGUCCAGUGCCUCUGUGCCUGCCGACUCCACUCCCGUGUCUCCGCCGCUCGCAGUCGCAGGCCGCCGCGUCACGCCCGCGCCUCCGCCGCCGUCUCCGCCCACCACCGCUCGCUGCGGGAGAGAAGGAGAGAGAGAGAGGGAGUGGCGAGGGCCGGGCGCCGCCGCCGCCACUCCCGCAUCUCCGCCGCUCGCCGCCGUCUCCGCCCGCCGCCGCUCCGGCCCUCGCCGUCCGCCGCAUUGCCGCGGGAGAGAGGGAGUGGCGUGGAGAGAGAAGGAACUGGAGGGAGGGGAGAGAGAAGUGACACGUGGAUCCCACAAAUUUUUUUAUGUGUCAUUGACAAAUGGGUCCCACAUAUAUUUUUAAAUUUUAAAUGCCACCUCAACGCCACGUGUAAAGGAGACCUGGUUAAUACCGCCACGUAGGCGCCACGUCAGCAAAACCGUCCUCCAAAACUGCUAAGGGAGUCAAAUUGUACCGGUUUUAAGAGUUUAGGGGUCGAGAUAUCCGGUUUUGUGGUUUAGGGUCACAGAUUAGAUUUUGAUCACUUUUAAGGGUCACUAAGUGAACUUAUUCCUGCCAAAUAAUUGGGCUACAUACCUAUACAAGGUAUAUACCUGGGCAGGGGCCCUAAUUAUAAUUAGGCCCUAGGCCAUCGCUCCAGAGCGGACCCUGAUUUCAGAUCAGACCGAUCGUGCUAUAUAACAAGUUAGCUAAGUUGAGUUGAUCAUCGAGAAAUAAAUAAUUAGCUAGCUCCUUAAUAAUAAUUAUUAGGUCAAGCGAGCCACAUGGACCUUAAAAAAUUGUAAUAAAACAGUAAUAUAAACAAUUAGAAACCAAUCGACCAAUAAUAUGAUAUGAUAGAGCAAGUGUUGAUCCGAAGUUUAAAGUAUAUAUUGGCUAGAGGAUUGAUGGCAUAAAAUCCAAACGAUUAGGUAAACAGUAAAAUCUUUGUUGCGAUCGGCUAAAUCCAAUUUGCAUGUAAUCCUUAUAAGCCGAUGUAACACGCAGAUAACUCAUCGGCUGAAAUCUCGAUGAAACCCUAAUUAGAAAUAGGCUAGAGAUUAUGGUUCUUGCACAACCUAGUAGAUCAAACUUAACUGAUGCAACACUAAGUAUGAAAGAAACAUAAUAUCUAGACAAUUAUGCAUUUAACUGAUUUUCAGAGUGGUAGAUACCUUAGUUAAUCUAAUCUAGCAAGAUAAUUUAGUCGGUACCAGUAUAAACUCUAAAACGAAUCUCAGCCGAUAUGAUCAAAUUAAGAUACUAUACUAGAUUAACUAAGAUAUAUGAUAACCAGCGGCUGUAGAAGAUAGAUUAGAACAUCUAAAGUGACGCCCUAAUCUGCCAACGCAAACCGCUGAGACAAGUCAUAGUUGUUGUCAGAAGAUCGAACGAUGCCCUAACUUGAAGCAAGAACUCAUCGAAAAAGUAGAAAGGUAAAAGAAGCCGAUGCGUGUAUUGAUCGAGAGAUAAUUUACAAUGACUCUGUGUGUACAUAUUUAUACUCUUGGGUAGAUACUAGUUCUUCUUGGAUAAGAAUGAAAUUUGCUUAAAGAUAAAAGGAAAACAUAAAGUACUUAUCGGACACUAAGCACACUUUCCUAAAGAUAAAAAGAAACAAACAAAGUCUUCCUAAUUAAUAGAUAAGCUGUUAUGCCGCAUCAUCAUUGAACUCGGUGACUUCUUUUAAUAAAUUAAUUUCCUUAAUCGAAUCUACUAAGAAUCCGACUAUUGGCAACUUGAUAAUUCCUAUCGGCCUAUUCCAAGAUUGUGAAGCCGAUAGUGACUCUAAGACGAUGAUGACUUCAGGGCUUACCAAAUUUUGGCGUUAACACUAGGACAAGGAUCUGUCCAAGAAGAUCUGGGCCUUCGGUCCGGAGACUAAGGGUCCUAACGUGUUCGUCAACAUGUGCAAGGGUGUCGGGUACCUGAGCGAGAUAAGAGACCCUACUCUAAGAGUACAAGAGUGUGCCAACCAGCUAACCCCUUUUAGACGGGUUACCCACUUAUUUCUAUUAUAAGCGGGUUCAUGGGGUGGCCGCUUGCACCCCUAGCACUGUUAGCACGGGCUUCUAGUGGGCGUCGAAGGAAAGCAUGCUCGCUGAGGAGAAGAUGUGUGGCGUCUUCUUCGAGGCUUCGAGCUUUGCGAUGUUCAUCCUUGUAACAGCCUGCCAUACAGAGCCACGAAGCCUAGCCCAUUCAACGGGCGGACCCACUUACACAUGCCAUUUUACCUAUAUUUUUGUACUUGGUUGAUGUAAAAGGGUUAAUCCGGAAAUGAUAUGAUUCGAGAGACAAACCAGUAUAAGUAAAUUUUACUCUUGAUAAACUAGAAAGAUGAUAUUAAACAUACGCAUACAGCUAUUAUAGACCACACAGUUUAAAUCAUGAUGUCACAUCAAGCUGCCGGCAGCGUGAGCAAACGAUCCGGCGGCGCUGGUGGCGGAGCAAGCCGUACCGGCCAAGCGGAUGCGAAGCGUGGAGUAGUCAACAAGAGCCUCAAGAGGCAAGUGAUCAGGAAGCUGUCCACAGGUGCUUAUCCUCCCCUGUAUUUUGUGUGAAUUUUAUUACUUGUACUGCAUGAUGUUACUAAGAAGCUGAGCCCAAACCACCUACACGUAGACGUGUAAGUGGCUAACCCGCGAAACCCACUUAUAAGCUAAAAUAAGCCACGAACCCGCUUAUUUUGACCUAUAAGUGGGUUCGCGGCUGACCCACUUACACCCCUACCUACACGCAGGAGCUCGAUCGGGCCGUGUAUGAGCGGCCACGGCUGGGGCGGUGCCGCUGGGGAAGGAGAGAGUAUGACGCGUGGAUCCCUACGUACUGACUAAACAUUUGGACUAGGUCAAUGCGUCACGUCAGCGAAAAUCAUCAAAACCGUCGAGAGUUAUUUUACAAUGGUUUUAAUAGUUCGGAGUUUAACAUAUCUGUUAUUGCGAUGAAGGGAUACGAAUUGGAUUACAAGUAUAUUUAAGGGAGUUAUAGUGGACUUAUUUCAAAACGAAAAAAAAAACUCAUAGGGUCAGUUUGGUUCGUGACCAAUGUUGGCCUUACCAAAAUUUGGCAUGUCAAAUUUUGGCAAGUUUUGGCAUGCCAAAUUUUGGUAAGGCCAACAUAUGUUUGGAUUGAAGCCAAAUUAAACUAAUUUGGCUAUUGAAAUGGCCUAUGUUAUAUAGGCAUGCCAAAAUUUGGCCUCAAUCCAAACAUACACAAUUAUUGUUGAGGUUGCCAAAAAAUUGGCAAGCCUAAUUUAGGCCUCAAACCAAACUGACCCAUAGUUGUUUUGGGCCUAUAGGCCCAUAGAAGACACGUGAACGACGGAGCUUUCUCGGGUCUAUGCUCCCCUGCUUGUCUGUAAGAGCGACCGCGGUGUUCUUCCAUUCCUAGCUUUACGCGCAAGCCGAAAAAGAUCAUAUCAUUACUGAAUAACGGAGCAAGAUGAUUUGGAAACAAAAAAGAGGUGAUCCAUGUCGUGUUGGAGAUCGAUCUUGCUCAAGGAGGUGAUCCAUGGGCCAUGGCAGCUGGCACGAUGGCCAUGGGUGGCAUCCGGUGUCCCGUCUGCUUCGCCGCCAUGGCCGCCGGCCAAGCCAUCUUCACCGCCGAGUGCUCCCACACCUUCCACCUCCGCUGCGUCCCCGGCGGCGCCGCCGCCUGCCCCGUCUGCGCCACGCCAUGGCGCGACGCCCCGUCGCCGCUCACGACCUCCUCCAUCCCCGCCGCGUACGACGACGACGACCCGGUGGAGCCGGUGGCGACGGCGGCGCGCAACAGCAGCGGCGGCGGCGGCGGCGUGCUGGUGCUCAAGACGCACUGCGAGUACCCGGCGCUCUCGCGCGGCGCCGCGCGCGACGGCUUCGCCGUGCUGGUGCACGCCAAGGCGCCCGCGGCGGCGGCCGAGGCGGCGGGGCGCGCGCCGCUGGACCUGGUCACGGUGCUCGACGUCAGCACGAGCAUGACCGGGGACAAGCUGGCGCUGGUGAAGCGCGCCAUGGGGUUCGUCAUCGACAGCCUCGGCGCCGCCGACCGCCUCAGCGUCGUCGCCUUCGCCACGCCGACGCGCGCCGGGUGCUCCGCGGCUCCGCCUGACGCGCAUGUCGGAGGACGGGAAGGCGACGGCCAAGCGCGCGGUGGACGCCCUCGUCGCGAACGGGAACACCAACAUCCGCGACGGCCUCGACGUGGACGCCAAGGUGCUCGACGGCCGCCGCCACACCGACGCCGUCGCCAGCGUCAUCCUCCUCUCCGACGGCCAAGACAACCAGACCAUGGGUUACCGUGGCCGCUUCCACAUGACGGAUUUCAAGGCAGCGGCGACCAGCUACGACGUCCUCGUGCCGCCGUCUUUCACGCGCGCCGGCGGCGGCGAGCGGUGCGCGCCGGUGCACGCGUUCGGGUUCGGCACCGACCACGACGCGGCGGCCAUGCACAGCAUCUCGGAGAUCACGGGUGGCACCUUCUCCUUCAUCGAGAACCUCGCCGUCAUCCAGGACACGUUCGCGCGGUGCAUCGGCGGGCUCCUCUCCGUCGCCGCGCAGAAUGCGCGCAUCUCCGUCGAGUGCCUGGACCCCGGCGUGCGCGUCCGGGCGGUCAAGUCCGGCCGCUACGAGAGCCGCAUCGACGCGGAGGGCCGCGCCGCCACGGUGGACGUCGGCGAGCUCUACGCCGACGAGGAGCGCCGCUUCCUGCUCCUCCUUGACGUGCCUCGAGCCGACGGCGACGCCGCCGUCGCCACGCGCCUCGCCAGCGUGCGCUGCACGUACCGGGACACGGCGACGGAGCAGUCGGUGGACGUGGCCGGCGAGGAAGACGCCGUGGUCCUCCGCCCCGCCGUCGCGACGGGCGUGGCGCCGUCCAUGGAGGUUGAGCUUGAGCGCGAGCGCGUCCGCCUCGAGGCGGCGGACGACAUCGCGCUGGCGCGCGCGGCGGCCGAGCGGGGCGCCUACGGCGAGGCGGCAAGGAUCCUCGACGCGAGGCGGGAGGCGCUGAGCAGGUCGGCGCCGGCGGCGUCCGGCGACGCCAUGUGCGCGGCGCUGGUGGCGGAGCUGCGGGAGCUGAGCGAGCGCGUGGCGGACGAGCGGGAGUACGCGCAGACGGGGCGCGCGUGCGUGCUCGCCGGCAUGAGCUCGCACGGGCAGCAGCGCGCCUCGUCGGUGCAGCUAGGGGAGCUCCGUGUACGGGUGUUCGUCCGUGUUCGCGACACCGGAGAUGCAGAGGAUGGAGAAGCUCUCGGUGAUUUUGCGUGAACAGCAGCAACAGGCGGCGCCUCCACCGCCGCCACCGCCGCCGACGGCGGCGGCGGCAAGCAAGUCCGGUGGUUCACUGAAGGCAAGGUUCGACGCGGCUGUACCUCGUAUAAUGUCGUUGAGGAAAUACCGCCGUCUUCUGUCACUCAAACGCUGAAAACAUAGGAUGAGAGGGCAGCGGCAAGGUUUCGUUAAGUUGGAUAAUUUCCUGUUUUAAUUUUUUUUUUCGAACUUAGUUUUUUAAAAUAGUUUUAUCCGAACUAUUUAAUAUGCAUUAGCUCACUUAGCAUGGUGCCAUGGUGUUACUAAUAAUAUCGCUUGCGUUGAGAGAACAAAUGGUAGAAUGGUGGAUGGAUCAUCAUCCAUCAGUUGUGUUUUGGAGCUGUUUUGUUGAAUCUGUGGUGUCUGAGUAUUUAGGGUGUGUUUAGUUCACGUUAAAAUUUAAGGUUUGAUUGAAAUUGGAAGGAUGUGACGAAAAUGUUAAAAAUUUAUGUGUAGAAAAAUUUUAAUGUGAUGAAAAAGCUAGAAAUUUGAAGAAAAAAUUAGGAACUAAACCACUUAGACAGAUUAUGCUUUACCUGUGCACGUCGAACUCCUCCGUUCUUUAACCGCAUCGACCCGAACGGCUAGCAGCAUGUCUAUCGUGUGGCAUAGGCACAUAGCCGCAAUACUCGGGGUCUGCUUUGAUCCUGGUAAAAUUUUAUACCCUAUCACAUUAAAUGUUUGGAUAUAUGUAUAGAGUAUUAAAUAUAAAUAAAAAAUAAUUAAUUACACAAAUUACGUGUAAAUUGUGAGAUGAAUCUUUUAAGCCUAGUUGCGCUAUGAUUUGAUAAUGUGAUGCUACAGUAAAUAUUUACUAAUGACGGAUUAAUUAGGCUUAAUAAAUUUGUCUCGCGGUUUACAGAUGGAUUCUGUAAUUUGUUUUGUUAUUAUACUAUAUUUAAUAUUUUAAAUGUGUGUCCAUAUAUCUAAUGUGACAUGCUAAAAUUUUUCACCGUGGAUUUAAACACGGUAAACCACCUCUGACAUUGCUGGUUAAACCUAGGCGUGGUAACGAGCCUAAUUUUUUUUCCUACAAGAUGUAAGGGCUGCGUAAAAAGGAUUUUGGCAAGACUAAAAAAAUUAAAAGGCUGAGAUAGUUGUGAAAAGAAAGGUCCAUGGAUCUGACCCAUUACCACCCCUAGUUAAAUCGCGAAUUUUUUUCAUUUUUAAAUUUUUUUCUUUUAAUAUUUACAGAAAUAAUCUAUCGGUGCAAAAAAUUACAAAAAUAGAUCAUGCCGCCCUAAUGGAGGGUUUUCGACGGCGCCGUCUGCCGCCGUCUGUGAAAAUUGCAUUUAGCCCCUUGCCGCCCUUAAUACAAAGGGCGGCAAGGGGCUAAAUGCAAUUUUCGCAGCUCAAAAGAGCAUUUGGCUGGUACUUUUUGCAUCUGGGUCCCUUGCCUCCCAACUAGAGGGCGGCAAGGGACCCAGAUGCAAAAAGUACCAGCCAAAAAGUACUAUGCCCGGGCUGGCUUUUUUGCAUAGGGGCCCAAGGGUUUUCAUGCAAAAAAACCCUCCCUCUCCCGUCUGCCGUCACCGCCCGUUCCUCCCCCGUUUGCCAUGUCAGCUUGCCGCCCUAGUGGAGGGCGGCAGGGUCUAUUUUUGUAAUUUUUUGCGCCGAUGGAUUAUUUCUGUAAAUAUUAAAAGAAAAAAAUUUAAAAAUGAAAAAAAUCAGAAGUAACCAGUUCAAGUAAUUGGUCCUCAUCAACAUGGGAGGAGGGCAUGUUGUAAUUGGUCUAUACGCUCCUCCAUCACUUCCCUAGUUCCCUGUGGCAUAACCGGGAACCCGUUGGAUAUUUGGUCAUUAUUUGAUAUAUUUUAAUCCAGAAAAUAUGAUACUAAACAUAACUUGUGUAUAAUAUGGUGGUCUAGUGAUAGUGCUAAAUAUGAAUAUGCUAAGAACAAUAAUAACAUCAUUUAGUAACAUGUUUAACAUUGAAAUAAAGAGAACAUACCUAAAAAAUACUUCAGAUCCAAUAGCGGUGUUGGUGUUGAUGUUCCUAAUGUCGGUGACAAAGCAGAGAGCAGUUGCACAAAGAAUGCGUACCCAAAAACUUGAUCGUCCACCUAAGUACUAUAUAUGGUGGAUACACUUCCGGAGGCCUGCUUGUCCCGAAUACCUGUGCGUGCAGGUACUUAGGACCGGGGAUUACCGAAGUAACUUAGAAGCAUAAGAACAUGAUGUAUCUACCAGAGAGAACCAGAACAAGACGAAGGAACAUAGAGCUUAUGUGCGGGAGAAUUCUUUCGGACAAGAGACAGUGUUUUUCUACCUCCUUAGGGAAUGAGAACAGACACCGGUAGUGGAAGAGGUAUAUGUUGUUUACUCCUCUUGAUGGAAGAGAGAGCUUAUGUGCUAGAGAGUUCUUUCGGACGAGAGACAUAGUGUUUUUCUACCUUGUGGGAAAGGAGAACAGCCGGUAGUAGAAGGCGGCAAGGGGUACGUGUUGUUUACUCCUUUUGAUGGCCUCCGCAUGAUAUAGUGGUAACAUCCGUAUGUGAGAAAACGAACAGCCCGCCGCUCCGUCUCCGUCACAUGCCCUGCGUGGGAGUCUGACAAUCCAUCCAUCACCUCACCCAGUUAAUAGGUGCACUCAAAUUAUAGACUAUUUAAGUUGAGGUUUUUUUUCAUUGAUUUUCAAUGCGAUAUUAAUCUGGACAUGGGAUUUAUUAGAAUUAAUCUGGACAUGGUCAUUUUAAUUCUAACAAACCCGACAUUGUCUGCCUGGGACAGAGUAUAGCCUUAGGAUGAAAUAAAAGUGUAUUGAACAUAUGUAAAUAAAACUCUUCAUGAGGUUUUUAGUAAUAAUUGUAUCCUUUCGGAUUAUAUGGAAAAUGACAGCGCAAUGGAUCUGAUCUGGUCAUACGAUACAUCUUGAGCAAGUGUAGAGGGUUGGUCAACUGUGUAUAUAAAUAAUAAUUCGUUGCAUCUAUCCACGAGCCUUUCGUUGCCGGCGACUCCAUCGCUUCGUUGCGUUGUUUGGGCGUGGCCGGAGUUGUUCAACUGCUGCUGUCAACUGUAACCCUCCUGUGAGUUCUUCGAUACCUUUUGAGCUCGGAUUUGUUCGCGACGGUUUUUUGAUUGAGUACGGAUUCAGGCUUGCUUAACUAAAUUGUGUCGGCGUAAAGAGAUCCCGAUCUAGCUAUAUGACCAAAUUAGCUAGUAUAUACUUCGCUUUGCACUCAUAUUGUCUCUGGUCUUGAUUGCUAAAUAAUUUUGGCAGUACCUUUUUAUUUGCGGUGAAAUUCUGAUAGUAGUAUUUCUUUUGCUUCUCGUAGGCAAAACUUAUAUCCUGUUAUCCAUUUUUCACCCAGUUCUCCCUGAGGAAUUAAUCAGGACCAAACAUGGCGGAGGCGAGCAGUAGCACCCACCGGCGUCGAUCGCAAGCUCAGAUCAGCAAGAUAGCCCUUCGGUCAGACGUGUGGAAUCACUUCACCCGUUUCACCGACGGAGAUGGGCGAGCCAAAGCACGGUGUAAGCACUGCCCCCAGGUGCUCGGCGCAGAAACCAAGAGCGGCACGAGUACCCUUUGGGCGCACUGGAAUCGCCACGAGCAACGCGAAGAAAUACCAGGCGAAGAAUCACCACAACAGACACCACCACCGCUGCCGCCUGCUGGCCCUGAAGAGGCGGCCAGAGGAGACCUUGCUCGGAUGAUCGCGUUGCACGGGUACAACCCGUCAGUCGUCAAGGACGACUAUUUCAGAAGCUUCUUGUGCCGUCUCAACCCCGAGUACGAGGUGCCCUCGCGCCUCGCCAUCGAGGAGAUGUGUGAUGCUAUCUUUGAUGAAACAAUGAAGGGCCUCUUCUCUAAACUACACGAUGUUCCUGGAAAGGUCAGUAUAGCAGUGGGUACAGUUAGAACCAUCCGAGGGAAUAUGUUGUAUACAGCGUGCCACUUCAUUGAUGAUCAAUGGAAUCUUCAUAAGAUAAUCAUGGAUGUUUACGCGGAUGUACCUUUUCUUAACUACCAUGGCCCAUUGUUGGGAGUUGAUGAAGUUUGUCUCGAUCGGGAUCUCUCCCGUGAUAUUUCCAUUGACAAAGUUAUGGUUCGUUUUAAAGCGCGUGAGGUUUUACAUAAUCUGUUCAUGAUGAUAUGGGAAACAAAGGGGAACGAUAUUAACCUUGAAUAUGAACUGAGGAAUGAAAUAGAGGAUAACCCAUUCAAAAUCAAUCCAAACAGGAGACAGCUAUUUUAUACCACCUACAUGGACAACGUGAUUCACUCGAUUGCUAGACUGCUUGUUAUGGAUCCAGAAUUCAAAGAUGACUAUAUUAUCUCUGACUUGGAGAAUUUACAUUUGACUAGACAAGAGCGCCAUCAGCUUCUUUCACAACUUGGUCUAGAUUAUGACCUAUGGGCAUAUGAUGAAAAGUGGUACUCGGAAUACUGUUCGAUGGAAGUUCUUCGCAAGAAAGGCUCUGCAAUAACGAAUACAGUAUUUGCAGAACUAUUGUGUAUGCUUUGGGGAGAAAUAUACCGUUCCAUUCAAAGGAUUUCUGCACCCGAUUGUCCCACUUCAUCAAAUCUUUGUCUCAUAGAGUUGUUUAAGCUGAGGGAAGUUUUUAAGCAUCAACUAGCACAGGCAAGUGGAGAGAAUGCAAUUGCUUACAAUGAAUUUAAUGGCUGUUUUGGCGCCGAAGAUCACAAAGAUGUUGCAGACGUUCUUACAGAAGCAAUGGUCGCUAUAGACAAGGCCAUACAAGAUUCCUACCCGGUCUGGUCUAUACCACUUGUACUGGAUCCCCGGUACAAACUCGCACGCACAAAAUUUAUUUUCCAAACAGCCUUUAGCACCGAGGCUGCAGCCGACUACAUCUCUGAGGUAACACGAAAUAUCACUGAGCUAUACUCUGACUAUGUUGAAGAUGAUGAUAGUACCAUGAAUGCGGUGGCAGUUGGCAGCACUGAUCCACUGCAAGAAGCAUGGGAUGAGCACCGCCGAGCAGAAGCCCAAACAGACCUCGACCGUUAUCUGAAAGAUGAGCUAGUCCAUGAUCCAGCACAAGGUUUUGAUAUUCUCAGCUGGUGGAAGGUUCACGGGUCAGUUCUCUAUCCAAGGGUGGCUCAGAUGGCGAGGGACGCUUUGGCAAUGCCCACAUGCAGUAAGCCUUCUGCUGAGCAACUCGCACACAUCACGAGCAUCGUUCGCGGUUACUCCAAGGAAGGAUUCGUGUAAUGUCACAGCGUAUUUAGCAUUGACAAGCUCCGGGUGCAUCGAUGUCAGAUUAUGAUCGAGCUGAUGAUCUUGAGUGCUGAUAUUUAUAUUUCACUUUCCUGUAAUUAACUUUUUGAACUAUGCAAGCUUUGCAGCGCCAAACUCUGUCUGCCUCUGUCAUGUUUCUUCAUUAUAUUUUACUGUUCAAGUUCAACAAUUUUCAGAGUUCUCUGUUUUCCACCGAAAGUCCGAAACCGAGCAACGAGAGAACGAUUUGCACAAUUGAUCCACCUGUAUGCUCAAGUGUUAUUCUUCAUCAGAUACUUCAAUCUGGCUAGCUCCUUGUUAUCUUUUCCCCAAAUAUCCUUGCUAUUGUAGUACGUGUUGUCGACGACGACGACGACGCCAUGUGCGCGGCGCUGGUGGCGGAGCUGCGUGAGCUGAGCGAGCGCGUGGCGGACGAGCGGGAGUACGCGCAGACGGGGCGCGCGUGCGUGCUCGCCGGCAUGAGCUCGCACGGGCAGCAGCGCGCCUCGUCGGUGCAGCUCGCCAAGGGGAGUUCCGUGUACGGGUGUUCGUCCGCGUUCGCGACACCGGAGAUGCAGAGGAUGGAGAAGCUCUCGGUGAUUUUACCGCCGUCUUCUUUCACUCAGACGCUGAGCAAAAUGCCAUAGUGAACUUUUGUGAUGGCUGAAAACAUUGGAAGAGAGGUGGUUGAUGAGACAACAAGAUGUGGUGAAACACUUACGUUUUGUUAGGUUGGAUAAUUUCGUGUUUUGAGAGUCAUCGUUUUAAGAACUUUUAUUUGCAUGUGAGAACAGUUAAAUCCAAACUAUUUAUGUGCAUUUCUUUUUAUACUGGUGUUGCUAAUAUCGCUUGCGUAGUUGCGUUGAGUCUUGAGACAACAACGGUAGCAUGGUGGAUGCUUAAUUUGCGCGGCCAUAUCGCCACGACGUCCCGACUGAGCGUAGCGUAGUGACCACCGUCGAAGACGUAUAGUCGCCAACUCUCCAUAUCAUCGUGGUAGGCUCUCAUACCAUUGUUAACAAAUUAUCCUCUCGCUCGAUUUCGAUGCAAGAACAAUAAAUUGGGAAAAUAAAGAGUAAAUUUCACUUUAAGCCAUCUUUAUUAGCUAAAUUUCCGCAAUAAACUAGAGGUAAAUCAAUAUUUUCACUAACACUUUUCUGUCUCCCCUCCUUUAAUGAAAGGAAAAAGUACGAAUUACCCCCCUCCCCCCGGGAACUAUCGCGGUCGUCCGAAUUACCCCCUGAACCAUAAAACCGGACAUUCUUCACCCCCAACUAUACAAAUCGGACGAAUUACCCCCUCGACUCAAUCCGCGGUGGUUUUGGUCUGCGUGGCGUUCGCAUGGCAGUCCAGUCAACAUUUUCAUUUUUUAAAACAUAGUGAGCCCACCUGUCAUAUAUACACACUCUCUCUCCCCUCUUCCCCCCUCUCUCUCACUCUUCCUCUCUCUCUUCUCUCUCUCACUCUCUCACGGUCAAAGGCAGGCGGGGGCAGCGGCUGAGGGCGGCGGCCUCGGCGUGGAGGUGGCGGCGGCGGGGGCGGCGGAGGCGCCGCCGGUGGUGGUGCUGCCGCCGCGUCGCCGCUCGGCCUAGACAGCGGCGGGCGGAGGCGGCUGGGGGCGGUGGGCGCGGAGCCGAGGCCGCGGCUAGCGGGCGCGGAGGCGAGGCCGGCGGCGGGCGGCGGGCGGCGGGUGGGGGCGAAGGCGGCUGCGGGUGGCGGGCGAGGCGCGGAGGCCGGCGGCGUAAGGCAGCGCACGGGGCAGGAGGUGGACGGACGCCGUCGCGCGGGGGCGCGGGACGCGAAAUGGUGCUCGACGGCGCGCGCAAUGGUGCUCGACGCGGAGGUGGGAACGUCCGAACGUGCUCACCGCCGGCCGCGAAAUGGUGCUCGACAGCGCGCACAUCACGAAGCUCCGUGUGUCGUCCCAUGCCGACGCCGGCGGCGACGGAGACGGUGCGGCACGGCGACGACGGCCCGUCCCCUCGCCGACGAGGAGCUGCUGCUGGCGGACGCCGUGGCUCCUGACACCGCCGUCGUUUCAUCUUAGGCUCGGGAUGGUGGUGGAGAAGGGGAGGUGACGGCGACCUCGGAUGGCUCCACCGCGCAGGACCACGAUGACGACGACGCUGGAGCCGCCGCGGGCUGCCGUGCUCGCCGAGAGAGGGAGAGAGAGAGAGUGAGAGAGAGAGAGGGGAAGAUUGGAGAGAGAGAGAGUAUAUGACAGGUGGGCCCCACUAUGUUUAAAAAAAAUGAAAAUGCUGACUGGGCUGCCACGCGUGCGCCACGUAGACUAAAACCACCGCGGAUUGGGUCGGGGGGUGGGGGGUAAUUCAUCCGGCUUGUAUAGUUGGAGGGUGAAGAAUGUCCAGUUUUAUUGUUAGAGGAUAAUUCGGACGACCGCGAUAAUUCGGGAGGUAAUUCAUACUAUUUCCUUAAUGAAAUCGGCAGAGCUCUUACCCUCGAAAAAGAAGAGUAUCCAUCCUUUACACUUUAUACCAGGCUUAGAUAUUUUGGACUGUCAUGUUGGCUUUGACCCAAGAACGACACGGGUUGUGCUACAAACUUUUCAUUUUUUCUGCCAUCGAGAAUCGACGAGGGCUUCCACUGCAAUCAAAGCCCUAGCCAUGGAGUAUCAAAAUACGGAAUUAUUUUUUUUUAGAAAACCUUUAUCGAUGGAGACGAUCUCUAUUGGAACUUUCCUUUGUAUACAAACUUUUAAUAAAUAAACUUUGCAAAGUUUUAAUGCAUAAAUUUUGUGCAUAGACAUUUUUUGAGAGGAGAUUCCAAACGAAUUAAAUAUAGUCAGAAAAUUUCUAUUCAAAAUCAAUGAAUUUUUAAGGGCAUAUCUAAAAAAUCUAUCGCAAGUUGUUUAAUUUUGGAUGAAAAAGCUUCCAAACGUCUCUAUAUGCUUGGACUGAAAUUAAGUGCAACUAACAUGGUAACUAACUCGAAUUGUAUCCUUUUAGGUGUAUACGAAAAUUGACAGCAACGGAUCCGGUCAGAGUAGAAAAUUCGUGGAAGGGUAGACUACUAGACUUGCAAGGUUGGACGACUGUAUUGCAUCCAUCCAUCCACGAGACUUUCGGUUCCAUCGGCCCAUCGGCUUCGUUGCGUUGUUUGGGCGUGGUCGGCCGUAGUUCUUCAGCUGCAAUCCUCCUGUGAGUUCAUCUUAAUCUUUUGAGCUCGGAUUUGUUCCCAGUUGUUUUUUUUAUUGAUGCCGACGCACUUGUUGGGCUAAAUUGUGUUGGCGUGAAGAGAUCCCGAUCUAGCUAGCUAUAUGCAUGCUUACCCUGUGCAUUCAUAUGGUCUCUGGUCUGAUUGCUACUCCCUCCGUCCCACAAUAUAAGUGAUUUUGAUUUUUUACUUGCAACAUUUAACCACUCGUCUUAUCCAAAUUUUUUUUGCAAAUAUAAAAAACGAAAAGUUGUGCUUAAAGUAUUGUAGAUAAUAAAGUAAGUCACAAAUAAAAUAAAUAAUAAUUUCAAAAAAUUUUGAAUAAGACGAGUGGUCAAACGUUGCAAACAAAAAUUCAAAAUCCCUUAUAUUGUGGGACGGAGGGAGUAAUUAAUUUUGACAGUACCUUUUUAUUUGACGUGAAAUCUUGAUAGUAGUAUUUCUUUUGCUUCUCGUAGGCAAAACUUAUAUCUUGUUAUCCAUUUUUCCACCCAGUUCUCCCUGAGGAAUCUUAUAUUAUAUUAUAUUAUAUUAUAUUAUAUUAUAUUAUAUUAUAUUAUAUUAUAUUAUAUUAUAUUAUAUUAUAUUAUAUUAUAUUAUAUUAUAUUAUAUUAUAUUAUAUACUAAAAGUCCAUUAAACUUCCUACAAACGCUCUCAAGCCACCACGUGAGACUCCUAUAAACGCUAUUAGGCCGCCACAUGGCUCUAUCUAAUCCAACCGUCGAUUUUCACUUAAAUUGGUGGACCCAAUAUUUUAAUCCAACCGUCGAUUUUCACUUAAAUUGGUGGACCCAAUAUUUUAGACCAUUAGAUUAUAUUUCACUUAAAUCGGUGGACCUGAUAUUUUAAACCAUUAGGUUAGAUGUAUUUUGUUUUAAAGAAACUAAUUCCUUAUACUCUGUUACGUAUAUAGGAGUGCCCCCAGCCGACGUAGUACACCCUCUCAUUCUCCCUUUCUUUUUUUCUAAUCUAAUUAAGUUAGUCAAAAGAUAUGCACCAUAAUUUUGAGAAUGCUACUCACAAAUAGAGUCGUUUUUUAUUUUUGAAAAUGCAAGUCUAAUUUAGCUAUAAUUAUUUGUAAGUGAUAUGUAAUUAUAUUUUUAAUUUAUUUAUAUUUUUAUGUCUGUGCACACGUACAGGACGGGUGGGUGUGGGCCUUCCUUUUCUCAAUUUUUUGAAGAAAAAUCUAAUCAAAUGGCAGAAAUUAACCAUAUAUAUGGUUAUAUAUGUGCGCGUCAUCUAUUAGAUCUACUAGCAAUAGGCACGCGCUACGCUGCGUGUAAAUAAAGAAGGAAUCAAAAUAAGCUUAAGGUAUUCAAACAAACUAAUGAGAUAUAACACAUAUCACAAUUCUAUUGUAACAUUUAAAUGUUGUAAGACAUCGUUACAAUUUAUGAGAAAAAUACCAUUUCAACUCAACAUGGCUGAAAAUUCCAAAUCGUAUAGACCUCUGAUUGUUUUUGUUUACUGGCUUAUCAACAAAUUGGAAAGAGAAUUAGAUCAUGGCCCAAACAACCUACUUGGAAAUGGUACUAAAGCAAUUAAGUUUCAGAUAAACUUCACCUAUAGUGGAAAAUGGGCAACACAAAUCCUUAAACAAUCAUAUAGCUCAUUAGCUUGAAUGGCCAAGCAACUAAAUCAAAAUCAAAAUCAAAAUAUAAUUGCUUCAUCCAUUUACAUAAAUAUGGAGUCAAAUUGUGACAGGCGGCAAUCACAGAAACAGUUCCACGACUAACAAUAUGUCAGAAUAUCUUAAAGCAUGUUGUAUAGGAUGGCAAAACCUUAUUUCAUUGCACCUAUGGACUAACUUGAAACCCAGUAGAGUUCUAAUCAAAUUUGCAGCUUCAACAAUGUCAUAUAUAUAAGUAAUUCGUAGGCCAACAAAAUAAGGCUUGGGUAAUUCUCACUUACCAAUAGUACAAUACUAACAUCUAUGACAUUUGACGGAUGCUUGGAAUACAGGAUGGUACUAAAAACAAUUAUUGCAGAGGAGAUAAUGUAGUUGAGCUCAACUGCAUCUUUUGCCAAAAACAAAUAAAGAUAUCUUAUCCUCCAUAAUCUCUUUUGGUUGUAUCUGCCAAGGCAAAAUAUCAAUUAAUCUACACCAUAUACAAUUAUUAUGUAUUAUUUUGAAGGUUAACAUUGUAUUAACUCUAUUACACAAAAACAUUUUAUUAACACAAUAUUAUUUGCAGAAAAAAUGAAGUAAAACAAUUGGCAGUGUUAAUGAUCUGACAUGUCAGAAUGUGGUAUGCGGGUGCACACGAAAGAUUUGGUGUUAAAUCUUUAAAUCUGAAUGCAGGCUAACUGCAGUAAAAUGAUAGUCUUAAUUUAUACUCCCUCCGUCUCAUAAAAACACUAUGUCCAUAUUCAUCCUAGGAUUUGGUUUUUUAUGGGACGGAGGAAGUACAAAGCAAAAUGUAGGCAAUUAAUUGUAUUGCGCAUAGUACUAUGUGAUAAUGGAACUUUGUGUAAAGGGUAAAGAUACAAUAGUGAGUAUGGACAUGAGCAAACUGCAAACUACCAUCCCAAAUCCCUGACUUGGCAGAAUGUUAUUUUUAGAAGAAAAUACCUAAAUUUUGAGGUGCAUUAAAUUACGCGAACCUUAAAUUAUACAAACCUGAACACAAUUCAUGAUAAUUUAAAUGUAGAAGUAAGCAAGUAAAUAGCAUUUCAAACCAUGGUCUAAUAAUCAAAUGUAGAAGUAGGCACGACGCAUAUGUGAUUACCCAACUGGAAUAGUAUCAACUGACUACUUAGGAAAAGGGAAAAAAACAGUUUAAACGAUGUUGACAAAAUGAAAUAGUUAAAUGUAAUAUUAAAAGAUGCAGAUUGGAAGCUGUAACCUGAAGCAUAGCUGCAUUAUACUUAUUUUGCAACAUUGAAUAUGUUGUGGACAUAACCAGAAGCAAACUGGCAUAACUGGUGACUUGCAACAUAGAAAAUUUAUAUGCAUAGAGUAUUUUCAGUGCUGCUAGGACAUUCCAGAGGCCUAAACUCUUGUGUCAAGGCAGAGGAGAAAAUUAGAUGCUUGCACUCUUCAUCAUUUACACAUUAAAUUAUAAAAAUAUCAGGCAUGCUGAAAGUUUUUUUUUUUUUGGCAGAAUGUAAGUUUGUAGGAUAGUAUUAAAUAACUACCUGUCAGAAUGUUUUGUUUAUGAAUAUGUGGCAGCAGGUUGAGUUGUCUGAAACACCACCAAGCAAUGAAAAAACAACCAUAAGCUUCAUUUCGUCUAUGAUCUUAAUUACCAACUUUCUUUGUUGAACUGGACCAACACAACAAACCACAUAAAUCCGGUGAAGUAGUAAUAAUUUUGUUGCAACAAAUUAGACAUCAAUAAAGGAUUUGCACACCGUCUAUCGAAGUGUUAUGCUCCCAGUAUCAGAGCUAGGGCUUUUGAUGUCAGUACUGGGCUAUUGGCUGGUACCUAAGCACUGCUAAUAAAAAGAAUAUCCUUCCAUUGCAUAUCCUGUUUGUAGAAUGCUCUCAUAUAACAUAUAAUCUUUAUACUUAUAGCCUUGUAGUAAUACCUAGCAUGGUUUUCUUUUUUCUUCCUGAUGUCAUUCUAUCAAGGGGUGUCAUACAAUGCAGCAACAAAACCAAUAACCAUGGAACUUCUGAUAGCUAAAUUCAUAUGAAGUAAUCUGAACUCAAGAAAAACUCAACAUAAUCUAAAUCUCGCAGCCCUGCUUAAGAGAGGAGAAAGCUCGAUAGCUUGCUCAGCAUGACGGUAGAUGCGCAGCAUGGAAGUCGUCCUCUCUAUAAUCUGUGACCUACACCUCAUCCUAGCCCAUCAGUUUCUCCACAGAACCUAAGGCAAGAUGGGGGAUUAUGUAAAAACACCAGCAAACGCAAUGCAAAUGCUCAAUGGCGAGUCAAAACCAUUGCCUUACCUUAUGGAUUUUGUGCUAAAUGUAUGCACAAAACGAUUGUGGUUGAAAGGGUAUCAAAAGGAUUCACCAGAAAGGAAACCAAUGGUCGCAAGUGACUCCAGUGAUCGGAUCAACCAGUGGGGAGGCCGAGACCAUCGAUUCCGCUGACCCCCAAACCGGAUCUGUAGCUCACCGAUGACUCCAGUGAUCGGAUCCACCAGUGGGGAGGCCGAGACCAUCGAUUCCAAUGACCCCAAACCGGAUCUGUAGCUCACCGAGGAUAGGGAGAGGAAGAGGAAGGCGGUAGUGGUCUGGAGAUGAGAGGGGAGAAGAGGGCAGCGAUGGCUUGAUGGCCUCGUGACCCUUCCUUCCUCCGGAUGGCUAGAUCCACUGGCAAGGAGGGCGGCGCCAGCGCAACGACAAUAGGAGGAGGGUGAGGCGACGAUGGCACAAAGCGAGGGGAGGAAUAGCCGAGGAGGGCGAGGCGGCGCGCGUGAGAGAGGAGUGCGAGGCCGGGCUGGGCUGAGUGCGGCUAGGGUUUU